This 48755-nucleotide long non-coding RNA is filed under the name Durio zibethinus. RNAcentral's name for it is "long non-coding RNA (DZIB_LNC001488)". The stretch from base 7605 to 7826 matches the Rfam family "Plant small nucleolar RNA U3". Lineage: Eukaryota; Viridiplantae; Streptophyta; Magnoliopsida; Malvales; Malvaceae. The record is from RNAcentral.
GGUUCUUCAACUACCUUCUCUAACCCAAAUUUAUACCUAUCUUUGUCAGUAUUUAUACACUCAAGUUGUUUAUUCAAGUCUUUUAUCUUUGAAGCAACAUUAUAGUAUAGAAAACUUCGAGAGGUAAAAAAGAGAGAGAGUAGCGUAUCUUCUUAAGCAAGGGAAAAUCUUCAACUUCUUUUUGUUCUUUCUCCAGUUGUGAUUGGAGUUUUGCAGUAUUCCACUCAUCCAACACAUCAUCAACGUCAUAGGCAACAUCUUUGAGUUUCUUUCACCGAUUGCUCACAUUGGCAUCCUUUAGCUGUUGAAGGCAAAGAUAAGAUCUACAAAUGUAUCAGCAUCCCAAGUAUAUAUUCAAUGAACAAUUUUAUACAGCCCAAUACUUUUAGUCCGAAAUUCUGUCCCACUAGACACAAUGGAAUCAAAACAGAAUAUGUUCCGACUUGAAUUCAAGUGAAAAAAGCAUUUUAUCAUAAAAAGAAUGCAUUCUUUCAUUGGGAAUUAUUUUAGGAAAUUAUUGAAAAGGUCAACUCCAAGUUUUAAGAUUGUGAAUUGGUUGUUGAUUUAGACUAGUUUUACCUGUUGAAAGUAGAUUUUGCCUUUAAAAACUACUUUUUAUCUAACCUCAAUGCUAAGCGCACACACACACACACACAAGUUUUCUAAUUUACAAACUCAAACUGAAAAACUCUUUAGAAAGUACUUUUGAAAUGAAAAAAAUGCAGAUUAAAAUAAAAAUUACUAUAUUAUCUCUAUAUCUUUUUAAUAUUUUAAUAUUUUAUAUAUCUUUUUAAAUAUUUGAUCAUGAUACUUUUUUACAACAAUAUUAGACAUUUAAAAUUUUUAAGUGCACUUAUUUUUUUUAAACACUUUAUAAGCACACUUUUACUUCCACCUCAAUUCUUAUAUCGUUUAAAAUCUUCAAUUUUAAACCCAAGAUUUAUCCUAGGAUUUCAAAUUCAAUAAUUUUUUAACAAAAUCAGAAGAAAAGUAUCUAAAUAGCCCAUCUGACAAAGUAGAUAAUGUUAAAAGAUGAUAAUAAUUCGGAGCGAAUCAUAUUUUAUUUACUUGAAUAAUAAAUAAAAUUUUAAAUUUUAAAUUUAAAUUUCAAUUUGAAUCAAAUUUUCAUAUGUUUUCAUUUUUUUGAAUAAUAUAUAUAGUUAUAAAAUUUUAAUUUUAAUUUAAAUUCGAAUCCAACUUUUAUAGAUUUUGAAAUCGAAUUCGAAUUAAAUUUUAUUAUUUUAAUUUGAUUUAAUUUAAUGAUUUUUUAAUUUUUAAUUUAUAUAUAUUAUUUUAAUAUAAUUUUAAUAUAUUUAAAUAAAUUUACAUAAAAAAUAAUUAUUUUUAUUUAUAAAAAUGUUAAAAAAUAUAUACAAAAUAAUAAAAAUAUAUAAUUUGUUUUAUUCAAACCCUUUUAUUUUUUAUUUUUCAAUCUGAAAUCCUAUCUCAAAAUAAUAUAUAAAUAUUUUUAAUUUAAUUCAAACUAAAUAAAAAAAAAAACUGAUAUGCAUCAAACAGAACAUUAUAAUUUUAAAUUAAUUUUUUAUUUUUUCGAUUUUCUUCUCACCAUUAGCCUACUCGUCGUUCCUGUUUUGCUUCUGCAUCUUGAAGAAGCGAUUGAAUAUCCUGAAAAUUGGCGGUCAUUUUUCGGAUUUCUUCUUCAAGACCCAGAGCCACCCCAACUUUGUGUUUUAUCUCAUCGGGUAUCAUUAUCAGGGAACCCAACUUCUCCAGAACUGCUGAAACAAUUAAUUUCGCCAUUGCUUUUUUCUUCAGACUGAUCAAACAGUACCAAAGACCACUCCAAAUUAUUUUAUAGGAAGAAAAACCCUGAGGAAAGAGGAAAAAAAAAGUGUGAAGGUAGGCUGGAAUUGGGGUUUCUGUUUGCUGGUGAAGGUACACUUGGGAAUUUGUAAUUCGGCUGCUGUUUAUCACAUUAUUCCUUCUUUUGGAUCUUCUUUCUGUACACGCAAAGUUCUAUAAAUAAAUUAGUCUUCGACUACAAGAUUAUGAACGCUUUGUUACCAAGGCACCGCAAAUUAGUGGAAACACUCCUUUAGUCAGGAUGCACAAAUCAAUGGUUUCUCACUUUCUUGCUCUUUCUGGUUUCGUGUAAACAUCUAUUCUCGCCGACUCAGUUUAAGUUUUUUUUUCUUUUUUUUUUCAAUGUCUUAAAUGAUUUUUUUUAUUUACAAUUUUUCUAAAUUUUUUAAUAAUAAAAUUUAAAUACAUAAAGUUUUUAAAAAUCUUAUUUUUUGUAAAAUUAUAAAAAAAAAACUGAGUAAGAAGUAAGAUUUAUUACAUAAAUUUAAAUUUUAUAUAAAAUGAGGAUUCAACCUUUAUUUUAAAAAUUUUAAAUUUUAAAUUUAAAACUAAUUGAUAUAUUAUUUUUAGGUCAUAUUUAAUGUAUAAAAUUAUUAAUAAGAUAAAAUGAUAAUCAUUUUAUAUCAUGCUUGAUUUAAAUUUAAAAAGAAGAAUAAAAAUUGUAAGAAAAAUUAAUAUUCUUUUUGCAUAUAAUUAUUUCAUCCUCUCUACUUAGAGAAAAUUAUUUUUAAUUUAUGAGAUUAAAUUUAUAUAUCUAAUUAUAUUUUUAAAACUUAUAUCAAUACUUUAAAUUAUAUAAAUUUGAAAAAAGAAUAAUUUUAACAAAUAAAUAUAUUAUUUUAUCAUAUUUCUUAUAUACAUCAAAAAAACAUACGAUAAUAUUAUUUAAUCUAAUUUUAUUUAUAAUAUUAUUUUAUUUUAUUUUAUUAUAAUUUUAUAUAUUAAAUAUGAUCUUAAAACAUAAUAUUUAAUAAAUUUAAAUUUUAAAUAUAAAAUUUUAUAUUUUUUUAUUUAUAAAAAUUGUUUAAAAUCUAAUUAUGAUUACGCAACUUAUUUAUGUCGGUUAACCCACACCUAGACCCAAUCUGGCCCCGCUUGAUAGUUGAUGAUAGCGUAAAUUAUAUCACUUAUAAUUUUGAGAUUUCAAGUUUUUCAACUUUCAUAUUUUUAUUAUUGUUUUUUACAUUUAGCAUUUUGUGAUUUAAUUUCAUACUUAACAUGAGUUAUAUCAACUUGAUAAAUUAUAAAAAUAUUUUAAAAAAUGAGAAACCUAAAAUAAUUUGAUAAUUUUAAUGAGUGAAUUUACCAUCCUUGCUUUUUUGAAUAAUAGAAUUAAAAUAUAUAUUUUUUAUAUAAUCAUAAUUUGAUAAAAAUUAAAAAAAUUUUAAAAUUUAAAUUUAUUAAAUAUCAUUUCUAAAAAUAAUUAAUUAAAUUAAUUAAAUUAAACUUUUCAUUAUAUAGAUGUCUUUUCAACGUGUUAACUUGUAUCUAACAAUAGGGGUAUCACCGAAAGUAACGAAGGAGAUGGCCAAAACAGUCAAGCCAUUUCCUUUUAUAGGCUAAGGAAAUAAGCAAAUUUUCAAUUCGUUUGAUAUAGGUUGAAUACAUAGCCAUAGGCAAGCCAUGUCCAUGCAUGUAAAAAUGGAAAGUUUCAUAGGGUCCCACCAUAUCCCUUAGCAGUGCGAUAAAGACUGAAAAUUGGUGGCUAAUGGCUACCACUCAGAGUUGCUAUGUAUGGUAAGUGUAUUGUUAAACAUAAUUACAAACUCUCUAAUUUGGAAAGCAUCUUACUUAUCAAAUAAAAAUUUAGUUUAGUUAAUUUAUAUAAUUAUUUUUAUAUUAAAUUUAAAAUUGAAAAUUUAAUAUUUAUAAUCUAUUAACUUAAAUUGUGGCCUUGUAAAAAUUUUUCUAACUUACAAUUCCCAUUCAAUGUUUCUUGCUAAAAAAUAUACAUGCAUGGUUUUUACCUUUUGCAAUUUGGAUUAACCUUUUUUUAUCUAAAACUUCCUAUCACUUUUUAUUUUUUCACUGAAAAGUCAUAUCUCUAAACUUUUGUAAUUCAUAAGAUAAAUUUUAUAAAUGUAUAUGGUAUAAGACUUUUCAUUAGUGGUGUUAUAUAGCACCUUUAUUUUUUUUUGUUAAUCUUUAUUUUUUAUUUUUUAAAAAUAUCUUAAAAAAAGAGGUAAUUGUUCUUUAAUUUAACCAAAGAGAAAAUGAAAAAAUGGUAGGUGAAAGGUUUUUGAUACGAACAAUUAGCAAAAAUCAUAUUUUGACAUGAAAAAAUGUAAUUAAAAAGUUAACAAAUACCAUAAUUUUUGUUUUCGAUACGUAAUUUUUUAAUACAAUCAAAAUACCACAUUUCUUAUAUAGACAAAGUGUUUUUUGUAAAGUCAAAGCUAGCUCUUACCCAUAUUUAUUUGUUGGACCGUAUUUUUAAUGUGAUAUUGAGAGUAAAAAGAAAAGAUAUAUUGCUUUCAUAAGCUCUCAGCUAUAAUUGUUUUUUAUUUUUUGUUCUAAAAAGAAUUCUUAAGAAAGUAAAAUGAGAAGAUUUUGUGAGAUUUUGGUGCACAAAAACUAUGUUUUUUAUCUAUGUUUUUUAGAUAAGAAAAGUAGUUUUUGUAGUUUUUUUGUUGUAAAAAUAAAAGAGAAGAUUUGGUGAGAUUCAUUGACUUACAUUUUCUUUUAUCAUUUUUGCUUUAGUGCGUAAAGACUAUGUCUUUUACAUAAGAAAGGAAAUCUUAUUAGUUUUUUGUUUUGAAAAAAAAGGUUCUUAGAAAAGUAAAAGGAGAAUAUUUUGUGAGAUUUUGGUGCACAAAGAUUAUCUUUCUUAUGUAAGAAAGGUAGCUUUUGUAGUAUUUUGUUGUAAAAAAAUUCUUGAAAACGUAAAAGAAGAAGAUUUGGUGAGAUUCAUUGACUUACACUUUUCAUUAUCACUUUUGCUUUUUUAAGACUAUUAAUUAAUAUGUGAAAUGAUAAAAUAGUUAUUGGGAAGGUAAGAUGAUAGCAGAUGAGACCCGAAGCACCUCAAUUUAAAAGUAUAAAUAUAGUAAUUAAUUUAAAAAAUAUAUCAAAAAAUAUGUUUUUCAAAUUAUAAAUGCAAUCUUUAGUUGAUGUUUAUAAAAAAAUAUAUUUUACAAAAAUUACAUUUUUAAAAAUAUAAAUGUAAUCGUUAAUUAAAAAAAUUCACCAAAAACUACAUUUUAAAAUUAAAAACGCAUUAUUUAGUUGAUAUUACAAACACAAAAUGCUACAUUUCUAUAAUUAUAAAUAUAGUCUUUAGAGUAAAAUCCAUAAUAUGAAUUCUGUAGAGAUUUGAAAGCAAGUGGGGUAUCCACAUGGCACCACCAUUCUUCUUCUUUCUUUUAAAAAAUUGUGUUAUUUUUUAAAUGUUUUUGUUUUCUUUUUAUUUUAUUUUUAUUUUACUUUUUUUUCUUAGAUUUUUUCUUUUUUUAAGCCUUUUAUUUUUAAUUUUUAUUUAAUUUAAUUUUAUUUGUUUUUUACUUUUUAAGAAAAAUCAUGUAAAAAAAGGUUAAUGAAUAUAAGAAUGACAAAAUAAUCCGUAUCUAAUGAAAUUUUUUUUUUUACUUUUUUAAGAUAAAUUAUGUAACAAAAAAGUUAAUAAAUAUAAGAGAAGAUGUCCACGUGGCAUAUCCUUUCUUUAAAAUUAUAUUUUUUUCCAUAUUUAUUUAUUUUUUGACAUUAUUUUUUAUUAAAUAAAUUUUGUAAAGAAAAAAUUAAUGGAAGUAAGUAUGAUAAAACAAUCUAUAUCCGAUUAAUUUUGAUUUGUCUAGAUUCAAUAUAAAUGCAAUUUUAAAAAAAUCAUAAUCAAAUUGAGAAUUUUUUUUGGAAAAUCGAAAUCGAAUUGGAAAUGAAUUUAAGGUAUUUCAUCCAUAUAAAAGAAAGGUUGUACAUUUUUCUUUUUAAUGUUGAUUGUGUUCAUCUUAGAUCUUUUCAAUUGCUUCACUUUUUUUAAAAAUCUUUUUUAAUAAAAUGAUUGAGAUGAUAGUAUAAAAAAUGAUUAAGAUGAUGGUAGCAAGUGAAGGGUAACGUAAUUCUAAUAACAUAUUUGAGAUUUGAGGUGAUGAUGAUAGGUGAUGAAUUGGUGAAUCACAUGCAUGUCCUUCUUAGAAAAAAAUUUUAUUUUAUAUUUUUUCUUUUCUUUCAUUUUCUUUCUUGUCUUUCACCCUUUAAACUUUUUUACCUCCUAACUUUCCCACAAUCCUUUAAAAAGAAAAUUGGUAUACUCUCUUUUACUAUUCAUCCAUCUUCGAUUGUCAUUUGCUAACAAUGGAUUUUCAUAAAAAAUACCUCCAACCACCUCUUAAUUUUUUAUUCACAUCUAUUGAGUUAGAAUUUUCAAAAUCAACUAGAAAAAGUCUAGAUCUAAAUCUAAAACUUAUAACUUCAAUUUUUUAAAAACUCCAUUUUCACUAGCUAAAAUAGUCUAAAAUUUGACUAUGGUACUCUUCUCUUUUUGCUCUUUGUUUCCUCCAAUUUAGAUUCUUUAAUACCUUUUAUCGUCAAGAUUCACGAUUAUUAUUGUAGUCAAUCACUUCUUAUAUCUAAUUGAUGCUAGACAAAUUAGUCAGUAUGUUUAUGACUUUGUAUAUUUUUAAAUCUUAAUGUUUUUUUUUAAGAUUUUUUCGUUAAAUAUGACUUUUAUUACCUUAACUUUUUUUUUUGUUGUGAUAUUUUUACAGGUGUACACAUGGGUUUCAAUUUUAUUUUUUCAGAUACUUUCAAUAUCUUUGUCUUAUUUUUAUUUACUAUCUCAUGAUAUUUUUGUUUAUUUAAUACCUUUUUUAUUGUUUUAUUGCAUUUAUACAAAAACCGAUAAGCUUUUCAUGUAAGUUCUUUGAAAUGUCCUAAACAGUUUUCCCUAACAUUGAUUUAGGAUCCAAAAUUGUCCACAUCGAUCCCUAAUCUUACUUGACUAGAACACUUCCUCCCCCAGUUCACUGUUGUCUUUCUCUUUUUGCAUGCACAAUUUCAAAUUUCCUGCUAUUUUUUCAUCUCAUAAUCAAGUGAGAAUACAGAAUCCAUUUGCAUUCACAGAUUGUGAUCGAAACACCUGUUUUCCUAGUGUUCUUUAGAUGUUGGAAAGUAAUAGAUAAAUCAUCAAGACAAAGAGUUUUUUUUCUAUUUAUUUUUCCUUCUCAAUUUUCAUUCAUUUAUGUUGUAGAUAAGAGGCAUGAGAGAGCUUUCUUGUUCCCGAUAUGGCUAUUCUUGCUGCAUACAAUUUUCCUCUAUAGUCGAUUCUGUCUUCAUUUUCUCUAAUAUAGAAAUAUAUGAUCUGUAUAUAAAAUGUACUAACAUUUAAUGCACCUGAGAUAAGAAUUUCGGCAUGCCAUUUUGCCUUCCAAUUUCCACAAAUAGUGUCAUUGAAUGCUGCCAUACUUGGAUUCAAGCAGCUUUAAUACACAACCAUAUGGUUGAAUUGUUGCAAGUCAAUCAGACAACAUUCUUCCAAUACAUCAGCCUGAAAUUUUUUUAAAAUUAAAAAUUGAAGAUUCACAUCAAAAUUUUAUUAAAAUGUUGCUUUGAAAUUUGUAGGAUUAAAAGAGUUGAUUAGCGCUUGGGGGAAAUGGAAAAUGGAACAAAAGAAGACAGUAGAGAAUAGGGGAAGGGAAAGGGAAACGAUAGAUGUGAUAGAACUGAAGUUUUUUAGUGAUGAGAUGAGUUAUGCCAAUCAUUUAAUUUUAAAACGACGUGAUUUCCAACAACGAAAAAUCUGACAAUUCAUGUAUGAAAUUUAUAGGUCGAAUCAACAAAAAAAAGGCACGACCUUACUUGAACAGGAUCUGUUCUAUAGGCUCAGACCUUUGUGUCCUUGAGCACAAAGAAGACAGGAUAUCAAGUCUGGUUGAUGAAUCACGACCUUGUGAUCAAAGCGUGAUUAAACCCCUUCAAUGGAUUACCUGUGGCCUAUUGAAGUAUUUGAGGAUCGUUUUCAGCCAAGGGUUUGUACCAGUUAGGAUGAUCACAAGGUUGUCUGAUAGACUAUUUUCCCUUUUUUUUUUUUGUUUCACCUCAUAAUUUGUAAUGCAUCAUUGCAAACCAAUUUAAAAAAGUACAGAUGUUUUGGAACAAUUGAUUUUAGAUUUUUCCCAAUUGGCUAAUUAGUAAUAAUGAAUCUAAUUUGCAAAGACAGCUUGUGCUCAGCAGCAUCCAAAAUAAUACAUGCUUACCUUCAAUUUAGACUACUUCAGAGCCACUUAUAUUAUCUUUUCAAGUUAAAAAGGCGGCGUUACUCAAAGAAAUAUUCGGAUGGCAUUAUGCACAAAUGUAGGAUAAUUUUACGGUACUAGAGAAAGAAUAUUUGAAACCAAUAUUGUGUAGAGACCGCGCGAACGCAGGUCCCCGCUGCCACAAAUUAUGACGUAGGCUCUCCCACUUGGGGAGACCUUAGAGCAGCACCCCACCCAAGUGCAAUGGAAGUCACUGCCCUAAGCCAUGGGUCUUCUUGAUCGCCCAUUAACCCCGUCCAGGUAAGUAAGUUCAGAUGUUGGGAUAUGAUUCCACCUUAUACAACUCGCUUAUAUUUGGUUUAUGAUAUGAUAGGGAUGUGGGAUUCAAGUGAUAUUGUACAUAUUAUUGUCUAGAGUCCAAGUUUUCUCAAAAAAAAAAAAAAAGACAUUUUUAAAAGUUUUGAUUAAACAAUAAUGUAAAAUGAUAAUUCCAUCGUCUUCAAAUUAAAAGGAUCUUUCGAUAUUUAUAAGUUGAGAUUUUAAUUUGACAGUCUUCAAUUCACUUCUUAAAAUAAAAGAGAUGAGAUUUAUGUUAGAUUGAUUGAAGAGACUUCUUCCAUUAUAUAACCAAAAAUCAAGUGAAGAGAUGCAUCUCAUUUUUAUAAAAGCUUUUCCAUACUUAUCCCAAUAGUCAACCUGAGAUUAAUUAAAAUGGCUAAGAGUUACCAUUUUUAAUAACAAUUUUGCAAGCUGAAUUAUACUCAAAUGCACUUGUUCAACUGAUCUUUUGCUAAAUAUUGAAAGAAAAUUAUGAUAUUGAUAAAAAUUUGACCUUUUUUUUAUCAAGACAUUGAAUUAUCACAGCAUAUUCUAAAGACAAUGAAUUAUCAUAGUAUAUAUAGAAUAGAGUUAUAGAAAAUCACCAAAAUGAUAGUUACAUGCAUGUCUUUAUAUUCAAAGAAUUAUUUUUCCUCCCAUCAAAAAAGAAAUUGACAAAAUCUUGCAUUUAGAAAAGUAUGAUGAACACAUCCCAUACAAAUAUUGAUGUGAAAGAAAAAUGAAGUCCAAUAACGCAAACCAGGCCUAAAGAGAGAUCAGUACUUGCAGUGGAUAGAUAUGAAACCUUUCAAAACUAGGAAUCGUAGGGCAUUACCCUGAAGGGAGCCCUUCCAGAUAUUCUCAAAGGCUAGGUCUGAACCAAGGCCAAAGAGGGGGUUUGGAAAUAGUUUGGAAAGAGCACGAUCAUCUUCCUUAUCGAUCUGGGUUAGUAAAGAAAAAAAGAAAGAGUACGGAUGUUGUCCUAAUUGAUCUGCAAAGGUAAAAGCAAUUUACAGUAAUAAUCUUACUCAUCUCUCAGAUUCAUGAAAAACUAUACAAUCAUCUAUAUAGGAUAAGUUAUGCGCCAAAAUAUUUGAUCAAAUUUAUGUUAAUAAAUUGAUACCCCAAAAUAACUUAGUAAAAUCCAUGCUACAAUUCAAUUGCCUUUCCCAGUGUAUUAAUUAUACUAAAUAAAUAACUCUACAAGCUCAACAAUUAUGUAAUUCAGAAAUACAAAGUCAGAGUUUUAUCCCUAACUAAAAAAAAGAAACUAGAAUAAUUACAUAUAUAUUGAGCAAUAUGCAAUCUAAUCUAUCAUAAUUGAUAAGUGUCAUCUCCUCAGCAAUGGAUGCCAAUGCCCUAGUAAUUGCCAUUGAAAGCUCUUUCUUGUAAACUUGAGCAGAAUUUUGAGGAGAUUGAUAAAGAAAUUAAAACAAGGCACAAAUACAGCAAUGUGAUCGUAGUCAGCCAGAUAAACGCUAAAUCAACUCUGCUUACACAAAUAGUUUUAUGGUUAACUUUCAGACAUCUGAACAUAUCAGCUAACUAUUUUAAAUAUCAUAUUUCUGGAGAGAGUAGCUUUUGUGGCAUAUGGGCUUUUAGUGUUUUAACUGGUUGUGAAUGUUAAAAGCAAGAUUUUUUCCUAGUACUUCUUCACGGACAAACGGUUUCUUCACUUCUUUGAAAGAAAUUGCCCCUUAGACUCAUGAUACUUCUGAUAAUGGAUCUUUAAUUUCCUUUUCCAUUUUAGUUUGGAAUUUUAACAAGUAAUCUGUGGCAUUUUUGCUAGCAAAUCCAAUGAUUUAAAACAUUAUGUAGCAAAUAUUUAAAACAUUUUUAAAAUUAUAGAUGAUCAUGUUUAAAACAUUAAUGUUUUUAAAAUAUUGUUUGGUGAAGAAAAUAAAAGAAUUUGAAUGCUGAAGUUCUUCUUAUCAGGUUUUCAUGUUCAAUCAAAAUCAACAACACAAAAUACCAUUGUAUUACAACAAUUUGAAAACAGAAUACCACUUACAAAGGAUAGAUAUCCUUUCACAUCUGGGAAUCGUACACUUUGUGUUUGUAACUGUUUCAUGGCCCUGUCUUAUAGUAGAACCUAGAAUUUUGAACCUUUGCCAAUGGUUGGUAAGACUUGCAAAGCUAUCCAGUUGAUUGAACCCGGGCCAGGCCCUUGGAGUAAUGCAACGCAUGGGCAACGCAUAAGAACCCAAGUAGAAGCACCAAAGUUCCAAUUAAACCGUGUAAAUCAUCCUUAAGUUGUUCACAAUGUGGGAUAGAGAUCUCAGCCAAACAACAGCAGCAGCACCAUGGCAUCGUUGCCAUGAAUCCAUGACAGAAAGUAAUUUGCUUGUGCAGGUGAUCCUUGAACUAAAACUCGCAAUAGAGACGCUCAUGACCAUACAACUUAUAUGUGAUCACAUUUGGUGGUAAGUUCUGGUGAUAACCAUAUGACCCAGGAUUCAUAUGCUCCGGUUCAUAAUUACGUCGGCUUCAUAAUUUGGAAAGGUGAAAAGGAAAGAAACUAUAUCAGACAUUGGCAUCUAUUUUCUUAACUGAUGAGAAAAGUUCAAUUAUUUUCAUUCCAAGUCAUAAAAAAAUUUCCAGACUUCAAAAAACAUCGAACUUCAUCAGGAGAAAAGGACCUAAACUUAAACGAAAGACACUAAAAUAAAUGUUAAGAUUUAAACUAAAUUUGGUAGGAGCCGCGCGAACGCAGGCCCCCUCUGCCACAAAUUAUGACGUAGGCUACACCACCUGGGGAGACCUUAGGGCGGCAACCCUCCCAAGGCAAUGAAAGUCACUGCUCUAGGCCAUGAGUCUUCCUGAUCGCCCGAUGACCUCGUCCAGGUAAGUAUGCUUAAAAGCUGCAGCUUGCCUCAUAUUUAUAACACAGCACUAUGCUACACUAUCCUCACUCAGUGAUGCGGGACUGUUUAAAGACUGAAGUGGUAAAAGUGAGGUUCAAUCCUCUUUUAGAGACAUCAUAAAAACGUUCCUUUUCUUGACUGCCUACAUUUGUCAGAACUCAUUUGAAGGCAAACAGGCACUAGCAAAUCACUAGGUAGUUUCCAGAUUACUACACAAAAUCCAUACAUUUAACUUUUGGCAAGUAGGGACUAGCAAAUUACUAGGUAUUAUAAUAGCAAGUAAUUGGAUCUUAAUUCAAAUGAUUAAUUGAUCUUUUUUUUAAAAGAUGAAAUUUUUUAAAGUACAGAUUCGAUUUUCAAUACUUACAAUUUCUCUUAUCUCUUUUUCAAUCUUUUAUGUUGCGAUCUCUUUUACAUGAAAAAAAAAAAAAAAACAAGGUGGUCUUCUUUAGGGUUUAGUAAGUCUUUUGAGACUUGUAUCUCCCUAGGGGUUUAGUAAGUUAUGUUUGGGGUGCAAGGGAGUUAUCUCAAGAUUGUCGCUAGGUGGUCUUUGAGAAUCAUAGUGUGAGGUGUAGUUGAAGAUCAAGGUGGGCAAUUUGUGGUUGGAGAAUGGAGGCAAAUCUUGAUAUUCUGUAGAGGCAGUUAUAUUUAAGGCACAUACAAAUGGAUCAGGUCAAGAGGCCAACGGUAAAAAAGCAUGGAUGGUUGGGAAACUACUAACCAAUCGAUCCUAUAACAAAGAAGCGAUGAAGAGCACACUGAAGUUAAUCUGGAGGCUAGCAAGAGAGGUCGAUGUUGUAGAUCUAGAGAACAACUUUUUCCUUUUUAAGUUCUCAUACUGUGCAGACAUGAAAAAAGUGAUAGAAGGUUCGCCUUAGAGCUUUGAGAAACAACUAAUAUUAUUCAAAGAAUACGAUGGUGGAUUAAAGCGUGAGGAUUGUAUCUUCAAUACAGUACUCUUUUGGGUAAGGGUGUAUGAACUGCCACUAGGCAUGCGAAACCAAGAGAUCGCAAAUCAAAUUGGAGAGAAAAUAGGCAACCUUAAAUCAAUUGAUGCAACCCCUGAAGCAAGAGGCUGGGCUUGGUUCCUACGUUUGUUGAGGUAGAUAUAGCAAGACCAUUAAGGAAGGCUGUGUUACUCACCACAGGAGUUGAGGUAAAGGAGAUAUAGGAUAGAUUAAGCUACAAGCGGUUACCUAGCUUCUGUUACGUUUGUGGAAGAUUAGGGUAUAUUGAGGACGAAUGUGGCAAUGGGAAAAGGGAGCAAUGUCAGUCGUCACAAAUAAGGUAGUACGGGGGAUGGCUUCGGGCCUCACCGCUUAAAAACAAACCUACGCCAUGGGAUGAGGGAAAUGUAAGGAUUGGAAUGCAAGGCAAAGGGAGAGGAAUCUGUCAUAACAAUGAGCAACUAAUGUCGAUGGCCGGAGAGGGAGUUGUUCGGAAGCUGAAUCUAGUGAUGAAUCAAGAUAGCAGUUACGUGCAUGAAAAUUGGGAUUCAUUAAAUCAGGAGAGUGAAGAUACAGGCAUAAUGACUUGAUUACAAAAGGCAGAACAAUCUCAUAAUUCUAGCAUAAAAAUACAGGGAUUGUCAAAUUUCGAACCUGAUGGUCUUAGGGUGUAUGGAUUAGGGGAUUAUGGAUCAAGGCCUAACAUAUUGGGCAAAAAUAAUAUUAUGAUGAAGCCACGUUAAAAGGUCCAAAUGAUAAGCAAAGUAUGCAGAGUAAUCACGUGGUCUCAUGUAAGACGAUUUUCAAUAGCAUGAUGGAUCAAAUAGAUGCAACCAAGGAAAAAAAAUGAAGCUGGCUGAGUCAGAAGCGAUGGUAAAUGAUAGGUUCAUUAGCCAAGAGCAAGUUAAAAGAGACAUGGGAUAGGUAAUUAACCCAGGGAUGCAAUCAUAUCAAAAAUGGAAGCAAUUAGCCAGGGUUGCAAAGGAGGGAACGAAAUUUGUACAAGUGAACAUGGGGAGGAGAAAAUUGGGAAUUGACAAGAUAGCAACAAUGGACAUGGAUAGCAUAGGGAAAAGGAGUAAAUGGGAUGAGAAAAAUGAUAAGGGGAACAAAUUUGUGGAAACGGUGGAGGCUAGUAUCUUAGUCCUGUUGAGAUCAAUAAAAUGCUUAGCUUGGAACUACCGUGGCCUUGGGAACCCAUGUGCAAUCCGAACUCUUAAGAACAUUCUGAAGAGGGAAGAUCCUGAGCUGGUAUUUCUAUCGAAAACUAUCUCUAAUAAAACAAAAAUUGACUGAAUAAGGAGGCAGUGUCAGUUUGAAGGUAUGAUUGUGGUCGAAGCAAAUGGUAGAAGCGGAGGUUUAGCAUUGCUCUGGAAAGAGGAAGUAACGCUGAAAUUGUGGAGCUUUUCAAAAUAUCAUAUUGAUAUGGGGGUUAAAGACUCAACAGAGAAAACGUGGAGGAUCACGAGCUUCUAUGGAGAACCAUUAACAAGGGAAAGGCAUGUUUGCUUGGGAGAUGUUAUGCAGAUUGGUUAGGGUAGUGAUAAUGCUUGGCUUUGUUUAGGUGACUUCAACGAGAUAAUGUGAGACAACGAAAAUGAGGGCAGGAGCAUAAGGUCGGCGUGGCAAAUGGAGGCAUUUUGAUCAAUCUUGGAGGAAACAAAACUUCACGAUGUGGGUUUUUUAGGACCUCAAUUUCUGGGGGAGAGGUAGGAACGUGGCUAAUAGUAUAAGAGAAAGAUUGGAUAGAGCUGUAGCAAACAAAGUGUCACGAGUUGAGACUUAAGCUCCGAACCUGCACAAUUUCGAGAUUCGGGCAUUCACCCUUUCGGCGUUCUGGAUUAGCCUAACUACCACGAUUCACACUCUUGUGAGGUAUUUUCCGCUCUGGUCCCCCUGACCUCACGAUUUUGUCCUACAAAAGGCGCCUCAUAAGGCGGAGAUGGUGUGAACCCUUUUAUACCCCAGUGACCUUCCUAUUAUGUUUGAUGUGGGAUUCAGGACUCUUCCUUAGGUCCGUGACAUUCUCCCGCACCCAACCUCGUGACGCCCUCGUCACGGAGGUUGGCCACCCUGCCUACCUCCCUCGAGGUGCUUAGCGUGGAUCGAACGGUUUAGGGUUGACUCUGAUACCACUUGUCACGGGUCGAGACUUAAGCUUCGAAUCCGCGGCUCCGGGACCCGAACAUUCACCUUUUCGACGUCCCAGAUUAGCCCCAUGGCCUCACGGUUUUAUCCUACAAAAAACGCCUCACAAGGAAGAGAUGGUGUGAACCCUAAUAUACCCCAGUGACCUCUUAUUAUGUUCGAUGUGAGAUUCAGGACUCUUCCAUAGGUCCGUGACAUUCUCCUGCACCUCAACCUCGUGACGCCCUCGUCACGGAAGCUGGCCACCCUGCCUACCUCCCUCGAGGUGCUCGGCGUAGAUCGAACGGUUUAGGGCUGGUUCUGAUACCACUUGUCACGGGUCGAGACUUAAGCUCCGAACCCGCGCAGCUCCGAGACUCGGGCAUUCACCCUUCCGGCGUUCCGGAUCAGCCUAACCGCCACGGACCACACCCUUGUGAGGUAUUAUCCACUCUGGUCCCCCUGACCUUAGGGUUUUUUCCUACAAAAGGCACCUCACAAGACGGAGAUGGUGUGAAUCCUUUUAUACCCCAGUGACCCUCCUAUUACGUUCGAUGUGGGAUUCAGGAUUUUCCUUAGGUCCGUGACAUUCUCCCACACCCAACCUCGUGACGCCCUCGUCACGGAGGUUGGCCAUCCUGUCGACCUCCCUCGAGGUGCUUGGCGUGCAUCGAACGGUUUAGCACUGGUUCUGAUACCACUUGUCACGGGUCGAGACUUAAGUUCCGAACCCGCGCGGCUCCGGGACCCGGGCAUUCACCCUUUCGGCGUCCCAGAUCAGUCUUCCUACCACGGUUCACACCCUUGUGAGGUAUUAUCCGUUUUGGCCCACCUGAUCUCACGGUUUUAUCCUACAAAAAGUGCCUCACAAGGAAGAGAUGAUGUGAACCCUUAUAUAUCCCAGUGAUCCUCUUAUUAUGUUCGAUGUGAGAUUCAGGACUCUUCCUUAGAUCUAUAACAAAAGCAUAUAGUUGGAGUUUUCAAAUUUUCUGGUAAAACACUUGGCUUACUCAGUCUUGAACCAUUGUCCAAUCAUGGUUGAUCCUAAAAGGGCCAAAUGGAAAGGUGUGGGUUGUCAAAAGAAAGAAGAAAAGCUUUGAAGCCAUGUAGGCCACAGAAGGCGAAAGCAAAUAUAUAGUGGAAACGUGUUGGGUAAAUGGAAUAUACAAAGAUGUGAAGGCAAAGUUACAAGAGACACGUGACAGAUUGUGUACAUGGCUAGGGGAAAAUUUUUUGGUAUGAGGAACAAAAUAGAAAAACUAAAAAAAAUGACCUUUAUGAGGUGCAAUAACAGGAGGUGAAUAAGGACAACCUGGCAAAAGAAAAGGAGCUAAAAUUGUGCCUAAACGUUUAUUAUAACAAGAGAAAUUGUUUUGGAAGUGGAGAGCCCGGGUUAGUUGGCUUAAUGAUGGGGAUGGUAAUAUAAGAUUUUUUUCACGCUCAAACGUCAAAAAAGAGAAGAAUAAACAGAAAUUUAAGGCGUGGAGGAUGACGAUAGGUUCUGGCACGAAGAUGAAUUAAGGGUGGCAGAGCAAGCAGUAAGUUAUUUUAAAAAUUUGUUAAAAUCACAAGGACCACCCGUCACUGAUCAAAUCCUGGAAACAAUCUUCCCUUGCAUCACAAAUGAGAUGAACAAUAAUUCCUUUCAGAAUUCAUAGUCAAAGAAGCUUAUGAAGCAGUUAAACAGAUACAUCCGAAUAAAGCUACUAGACCAGAUGGUAUGUCUGCCUCGUUUCACUAGAAAUUUUGGCAUAUUGUAGGAGCGAAAGUUAUUGCAUCUUGCUUACAUGUUCUCAACGGGGAUGGUUUUUUGAAUGAUAUCAAUGAUACCCAAAUUAUACUCAUCCUUAAAACCAACAACCCUAAGAGAAUGUCUCAAUAUCUUCCUAUAAGUCUUUUUAAUGUUCUCUAUAAAAUCAUUGCCAGGACCCUAGCUAAUAGGAUGAAACAUGUACUUUCUGUCUAUAUUAGCAAACAUCAAAGUGCAUUUGUUCCAGGCUGAUUAAUCUCUAAUAAUGCAAUUAUUGCUUAUGAGCUCAUCCAUAGCAUGAAUAGAAAGAGGAAGGACAUGGAUGGUUGAGUAGCCCUUAAAUUAGGCAUGAGUAAAGCCUAUGACUGGGUUGGGUGGCACUGUCUUAAUGCCAUUAUGGAAAUAUUAGUUUUCAGUUGUAGAUGGAGGUUGAUUAUUAUGAGUUGUAUUACAUCUGUUACCUACAAGUUGGUCAUUAACAGACGUGUGACUAACAAAUUUCUCCUACGAAAAGGUCUCCACUAAGGAGACCCCCUUUUACCAUACUUGUUCUUGAUAUGUACAGAGGGUCUAUCAACACUCUUGUCCAAAUACCAACGGGAUGGCUUGUUACAUAAAGUACGUGCAAGUGUCAAAGGCUUGCAAAUCACUCACUUAUUUUUUACAGAUGACAGUUUACUUUUCUUCAAAACAAACCAAGAGGAAUGCAAAUACGUGAGAAACUUGCUAGAAGUAUACGAAGAAGGUUCAAGGUAGCAGACCAAUUGCGAAAAGUUAGGCAUACUUAUUAAUAAAAAAUACAAGUGCCGAUGUCGUGGAGAUGAUCAAGAACUCUUUUGGGGUACAAGACACAACAAAUGCUGAAAAAUACCUUGGACUUCCAAUGUAUGUCGAUAGAAAGAAAAAGAGAGCAUUUAAAGGAAUUGUGGAAAAGAUGGAAAAGAAAAUCGAACAGUAAAGCUAUAGAUGGUUAUCACAAGAAAGCAAGGAGGUCUUCAUAAAGUCAGUGCUCCAGUAAAUGUCUUGGUAUGCAAUGUCAUGUUUCAUGUUCCUAAAAGGACUAUGCCAUGAAAUUAAUAUGAUCAUCAGUAGAUAUUGGUGGCAAUAGUCAUCGAAAAAAGGAGGGAUCUGCUGGAUGGCUUGGAAAAGAAUGUGCACUGGAAAAAAGAAGGGUGGCAUGGGAUUUAAAGACAUGGAGCUAUUUAACAAAGCCAUGAUUACUAAACAAGGCUGGCGUUUAUUACAAAACACCUCGUCAUUAGUUUACAGGGUACUUAAAGUACUUCCCCAAAUCUGAUUUCCUCUGAGCUGAGCCUGGCAAAAUACCGUCCUCUUCCUGGAGGAGUAAAUGGAUGGGGAAAAGGGUCUUGGAGCUUGGGGUGAGGUGGCGCGUGGGCAAUAAAGAGAGUAUUCGAGUCUGGCAAGACAAAUGGAUUCCAAGAGAUGGAAGCUUCAGGCCCACACCUAACACAAACUACAUACAAGGGGUAGAAAUGGUAUGAGUGGAUAUCAUUUGUUGGUAUCAAGGGAGCUCAUUUGUUACUAGAGAAAUGUAAACACUGAAGGGUCAACUGACACCGGAUAUGGCAUUUAGUGGUACCAAGCAAGGUAAAGAUUUUCACUUGAAGGCUGUGUCACGAUUAUUACCGGUGUUUGAUGUCUUGAAAAAAAAAAAAGGGAAUAAUGGAUCAAGCAACAUGCACAAUGAAGCCACGAUGCAUGCCAUAAAAAAGUAUUAAUAUGUAAAUAGGGAUGUCAAUGUGUAGGGUAUGAAGAAAAUAGAGCAUUCUUCAUCUAUAUUUCUGAAUUUUUAUAUUAUACUCAUUUCUGUACUUAUAUCAAAUAGAUUUUUCAAAUCUAUUCCCAUGUCUAUACCUGCAGGUAUGUAAUAGAUAUGAGUAAUCCUCAUAUCCGUAAUUUUUUUUAAAAAAAAUUAAAACUAAAAUUUAUUUUUUUAAGGUUUUUUUAUUUUUAUAUUGUAUAUUUAUGUAAUUUUUUAUAACCAUACAUAUUGAUAUAUAUUUUUUUCAAUAAAAAUAUAUUAAUUUUAAUUAAUCUAAAAAAAUAAUUUAUAUUAUUUAAUAAAAAUUUAUUUACUAAAUAGAUAUGAAAAUAUAUAUAGGAUAUGGAUAAAGGACAAGUGUUAUAUUACACAUUCUUAUAUAUGUAUUCAAUAAAAAUUUAAAAUCAUAAAUAUUCCUAUCUCUAUCCCAUACUCAUAAUAUAAUACCAUCCUCAUCCCUAUUCCAAUAACAUGCCCAAUUUUUAAUUGGGUAUGGAUAAGAUUGACAUCUUGUGGUACCAAGCACAACUGAAUGGAGCAUGGUAGACUACACAGGCAAAGACUACGAUAGAAUGAUUGUCACUGCUGGCUAACAGCACCAGCAGGGAGUCAUUUGGCAAAGUCACCGUGUUAUGUUGGGCGAUACGGGGAAAUAAGAGUGAAGCUGUGAAGAAAAAAGUGCUAAGACCAACCCAGCAAAUGGUGGAAUUUGUGAACUAGUAUGUGGAGGACUAUUCUUGCUCGCAUGAACGAUAACUAGUGGUUGUCAUAACGUCUAGAUCCAGAGAUCUAUCGCUAGACUUGGCUUGAAGAAGUCGCCACCAAUCUUUUUUAUCUAAGUGCGAUUGGUCACCUAAGGAAUCCGCCCUUUCAGGGAACACCUAAGUUUAAGGGUCCCUAAAAGGAUAGGUUCGGGUCUACUAACCAGAACAGAAUUCGAGAGUUCGAUUAUGUGUGAGAAAGGUUAUAGCACCCUCACAACGCCCAUCAAAAGAUGGUACCAGCUUAAUUUUGUGUUAUCCAAUAAGCCUUAAAAAUUUAUCAAGAAAUUAGUUGUUGAAAAUUAUUCUCAAUUAACUCUAAUACUUUUAGCAAAAAUUUGAGAAAAUUCCCUCACCUCAAGAGUAUGCAAGAAAACUAUUGUUUCACUUGCAGAGGUCCAUCGUCAGAUUAUUUAACAGUAAAAAAAAUUCAAAAGAAAUAAAAAAAUGAUUGCUUUUGUACAAGGAAAAAUUGAUACUUUCAAUUUUUUCUCAAAAUAUUUUUUUUGAAAAACUUUAGUUUCAAGAAAAAUUAAUACUUUCAACUUUUCCUCAAAAAAAAUCUUUUUUUUUUAAAUUUAUUUUUAAGAAAAAUUGAUACUUUCAACUUUUCCUAAAAAAAAACGCUUUUUGANNNNNNNNNNNNNNNNNNNNNNNNNNNNNNNNNNNNNNNNNNNNNNNNNNNNNNNNNNNNNNNNNNNNNNNNNNNNNNNNNNNNNNNNNNNNNNNNNNNNNNNNNNNNNNNNNNNNNNNNNNNNNNNNNNNNNNNNNNNNNNNNNNNNNNNNNNNNNNNNNNNNNNNNNNNNNNNNNNNNNNNNNNNNNNNNNNNNNNNNNNNNNNNNNNNNNNNNNNNNNNNNNNNNNNNNNNNNNNNNNNNNNNNNNNNNNNNNNNNNNNNNNNNNNNNNNNNNNNNNNNNNNNNNNNNNNNNNNNNNNNNNNNNNNNNNNNNNNNNNNNNNNNNNNNNNNNNNNNNNNNNNNNNNNNNNNNNNNNNNNNNNNNNNNNNNNNNNNNNNNNNNNNNNNNNNNNNNNNNNNNNNNNNNNNNNNNNNNNNNNNNNNNNNNNNNNNNNNNNNNNNNNNNNNNNNNNNNNNNNNNNNNNNNNNNNNNNNNNNNNNNNNNNNNNNNNNNNNNNNNNNNNNNNNNNNNNNNNNNNNNNNNNNNNNNNNNNNNNNNNNNNNNNNNNNNNNNNNNNNNNNNNNNNNNNNNNNNNNNNNNNNNNNNNNNNNNNNNNNNNNNNNNNNNNNNNNNNNNNNNNNNNNNNNNNNNNNNNNNNNNNNNNNNNNNNNNNNNNNNNNNNNNNNNNNNNNNNNNNNNNNNNNNNNNNNNNNNNNNNNNNNNNNNNNNNNNNNNNNNNNNNNNNNNNNNNNNNNNNNNNNNNNNNNNNNNNNNNNNNNNNNNNNNNNNNNNNNNNNNNNNNNNNNNNNNNNNNNNNNNNNNNNNNNNNNNNNNNNNNNNNNNNNNNNNNNNNNNNNNNNNNNNNNNNNNNNNNNNNNNNNNNNNNNNNNNNNNNNNNNNNNNNNNNNNNNNNNNNNNNNNNNNNNNNNNNNNNNNNNNNNNNNNNNNNNNNNNNNNNNNNNNNNNNNNNNNNNNNNNNNNNNNNNNNNNNNNNNNNNNNNNNNNNNNNNNNNNNNNNAUACACAAAUUACUAAAUCUACCAAAUGGUGAAAGUACUCUCCCCACCUCUAAAAACAAAGAAAUUGGAAAGUUUCCUCCGUCUCUUCAUCCUCUUACUGAGGAGAGCUUUAUAAUAACUUGCUCCUUUGUUACGUAAUCAAAUGUAACUUUAAGAAAAGGAAAUACGUUACAAUUACAAUUUGUUGCAAUUGUGAUGGGAAAUUAACAGUACAAAGAUUUGAGACAGAUGACUAUGAGAACCAACAGCCUUUCGAAAUGGCAAGGAUCGAUAUAUCCCAUGAGUCCUUCCUUUCUCGAUAAAUCCCUUGUCGCUGGUAGGGGAUAGAGCCUUCUUUGAUUAACCUGUCAAAGAGAUCUCUCAAUCUUCACUUACCGUAGUCCGAGCAAAAUCUGCACGCAAACCUGCUUUAAGUCCCCUUUCUUUGACAAUCCCCUUGGUUACUUAAUACCAGGUUCUGUCUUCCACAACAUCAAUGCCAAGUAGUUAGAGAACGUCACUUCAGAACUCAUAUUCCGUAACUCCAAACUAGUAAUUACUUAGUUCUAUUUAUUAUUAACAUUAAAAAAAACCAUAUUACCUAGCCUACGUUCCGUGCAUCACCCAAAAGUUUUAUGGGGGAAUUUCCUCUUCACAUGCUUUGAAAUAAAAAAGUAUAAACCAGGACGUCACAUGAGCUUCAUAUGCUAGCUCAAACACCAAUGGUUAAUUAUGCAUUAACGAGUGACAUUGCAUGUAUUUCAAUAAUUAUAAAAGCGCCUUGAAACAAGUCACCUGCUAAAUAUUUCCCAUAAGUAUUAGAUUUUCCAUCUAGAAAUCAACUUCAAGUUGCUUGCUAAAAAUAAAGAAAUAGGUUAAACAAAUAUUACAUGCUUCAACAAUUUUAUGUCUGUUUGAUAACAAAUGAAAUGAAGAUAAUUAUAGUUCAUAUUUCAUACAUACCUCUCCUCCGAUACACAUCAGUCUUGUUCAAACGCUUGGAGGAAAAGAUUAGAACUUAACAAAGAGCUGAAAAGCAAGCAAAUAGCAAGAACAAAUUAGUUAAGGCAGAGAUGUAAUAGCAUUCACGUAACAUUUCUUUUCUUUUCCUGCUGACAAGAGGAAAAAAUCUGAAGUUCAUUUUGCUAGAAAGCUUUGUGUUAAAAACUAAUUUAUAGUAGCUGGAAAAUCUUCUUCAUCUUUAAAAUACAAUCAUAAAAAAAGGUAUGUAAAGGAGUUAAAACUAAAUGUACUGCAAAGGUGUUUGUAAGGCUAUCAUUGCAAAUUUAAAAGUAACAGGCAACAACAUCCGAGACAGAUCCUGAUCACAUGCCAGUUUUGGGGUAAUGUUUUCAGAAAUAGGAAAAUUUUAGACAAUUCAACCACAAAUUUAGGCAAAUAAUAUGCCAUACACUUGAAUGUGCUGCUGCAAAUUGGACAGAUAUUAAUAAUAAAAUAUAAAAACACCUGUGUAGUGGCUGCAAUUGCAAUACUCCAAACUCUUCUGUAGAGGAGCAGUUUACUGGCACGCAUAGAACAUCGAUUAUGAUGCUAGGGAUGUGAGAAAUUUUGAGCCAGUCUUCCCCUGUCUCCUUUCUGCAGCGUUCUGAAAGAAUAGGACUCUGACUUAUGUCCAAUUGCUUUAGACUUGUAUUCUGAACAAUGUAGCAUGGCAGUGCACUUAACUUUGGGCAGUAAUCAAUUGUUAGGGAACAAAGCCGAGGCAUAAUACUAAUAAGCUCUUCUUCUUGGCUUGUUAAUGGGAUCCAAUAAUCCCACUCUUUCAUAUAACGAAAUUCGAGAUGUUUUAAACUAGGAAAGGCAAUAACAGAGGAAGGUGACUCUGACGAUGCAGACAAUGCUGAUAUCUCUUCUCUUUCGACACCCAAAAAUUCAACUCCCACUUUUUCCAAACUUCUCAUUUCCCCCAUAUAGAGUGAUUCAACAGAUGGCAAUUUCCCCAAAGGAGGCAAAACGUUCAAAUGAGACCAAAAACCCAGCGAAACAUGCCUCAGCUUGGCCAAGCCCAUCAUCCAGUUGGGGACAAUGGUGGGGCUACUGUAGCCCCAUAUCUCUAAUUUUUCCAAGCAAGGAGGUGGCUGUAAAGCUUCAAGAAGUCUUUCAUCUUCUUUUCUCUCUGACAUCAGCCCCUUGGAAUUAGUAAACUCUAGUAUCAAACUGCGGAGGCCUUUCUUGUUUUGAAGUUCUGCUUUCUUAGCUUCAGCCACAUCACACACAACUCCCAGUCCACUUAUCUUAAGAUGUCCUUGAAGAUGCAUUAAGUUUCCAAGAUCACCAAGUGUUGAUGCUUCUCUGUUAAUUCCACCAUCCAUUGCCACGAACACCUUUAGCGUCCGAAGGUUUGUUAGUCUCCCAAUUCCUUUUGGCAUUGCCCUCAAGCUCAACUCUGUUUGCUCAUUCUCAAGAUGCCUCAAGUUGAUUAGUUUUCCAAUUCCAAACGGCAAUUCUUUAAGACUAUCACACCAUGUGAGGUUUAAGGCUUGUAAGUUACAUAACCCACAUACUGAUUCAGGUAAUUUUUUCAAUUUUCUAUUUUGUUUCAAGUUAAGGUAUCUCAAAUGAACCAAAUUUCCUGUUUGAUCAGGAAUUUCUUCAAUUGAAUUUCCAAACAAACUGUUACUCAAAUCUAAUGUUCUUAGACAAGUCAAUUGAUCAAACAACAUGGGCAAUGAUAUGCUUAGUGAUGAAGUAUCAUGAUUGCUUGAGUCAAUAAGGAGGCUACGCAACUUUUUUAAAUGGUAAAUAUCAGGGACUAUUGGUAGCUUCUUUACGAAUCAAAUGUUACGUGGCGAGCCUUUUCAAAAAAGUCGACUCUCUGCUCUUCAAAACCAUCAUUUAGUAGCUUCAAACAUCGGCUUCCAUUAAAAGUUGAGCGCAAUCAUGUACGAUAUCAUGAAUUUCGAAUCCCGUAAUACCACUGUGAAGUUCAGACCUUUUAAAAUCCUGAAAAAAAGAACGCAUCAUUAGCUCAUCAAAAUAUUCCUCACCAACAAUCUCCAUCUCUUCGCAUUGCACUCCCUUCAGGUAAUCUUGUGCCAUCCACAACUUGAUCAAUUCAUCUUUGUUUAAGAUCUUAUCUUUGGGAAAAACAGAGCAAUAUGAAAAGCACUACUUAAGAGCCCAAGGUAACUCGUAACAACUCAAAAAUAAGGGAGGGAAAAGAUCUUGUUCAGCCUCUUCAAGGCUGCAUAUUUCGCUAUCCAAGAUGCUUUGCCAUUGUUCUACAGUUCUUUUGAAUCGCAGCAGACCACCUAGAAUCUUUGCAGCAAGUGGCAAGCCCUUACACUUUUCUGCAAUUUUCCCCAAUAUCUGCUAAAUUUUCACACUCAUCUCUUGUCCUCCCAUAGAAUGCUCUAUGGCUAAGUAAUGACCAACAUUCCUCCUGAGACAAGGUAUGUAAUGAAAAUACGUUUGCCGUCGUUGUUCCCAUAAUUAUGGCAACUCUUUCCUUACGAGUGGUUAUCAAUACUCUGCUCCCAUGAGAGCUAUACUUGAGGGAAAUUUUCAAUUGCUCCCAUUUUGUAGCAUCUUCAGUCCUCACAUCAUCCAACACAAGGAGUAUUUUCUUCCCCAAAUCAUGAUUACGAAUUUGCUGCAAAAUGUAAUCCUUUCCAACUAAAUUCAGAGCUUCGCCUUUAAACGCUUCAAGGAUCUCUUUGGCAAUCCUUAUCUCAUCAAAAGGAUCUGAGACACAAAUCCGUAUUCUCUUGUCAAAAUAACAUUCAACCUCAUUGUGAUUGUAAACCAGUUGAGCAAGUGUCGUUUUUCCGAUUCCUCCCAUCCCUACUAGAGAGAUGAUUUGCAAGCUCGAACCUCCUCCCUUACUAUUCUCUCCUACCAAUAUGUUCACUAGAAUUGUUGUCUCUUGACACCUACCAUAAACUUCUUCUUCAUCUAUGAAAGAGGAAGUUAUUUGUCUUUUGGGUUCUUCAACGUCCUUCUCUAACCCAAAUUUAUACCUAUCUUGUCAGUAUCUAUACACUCAAGUUGUUUAUUCGAGUCUUUUAUCUUUGAAAGCAAACCUUUUUUUAAAAAUAGUAUAAGAACUUUCGAGAGAAAGAAGAGAUAGAGUAGCCGUAGUUCUUAAGGCAAGGGGAAAAUCUUCAACUCUUUUUGUUCUUUCUCCAAUUGUGGAUUGGAGUUUGGCAGGUAUUUCCACUCAUCAACACAUCAUCAACGUUCAUACGGUACAUCUUUGAGUUUCUUUAACAAUUUCUGACAUAGGGCAUCCCUUUACCUGUUGAGGCAAAGAAAGAUCUAAAAUGUAUCAGCAUCCAAGUAUAAUUUCAUGACAAUUUUAUUACAGCCAAUAUUUUUAGUCGACAAUUCUGUCCCUUAGACAGCAAUGGAAUAAAGAAGACUUCAUGUUCCGCCUUGAAUUCAAAGUGAAAAAAAUGCAUUUUAUCAUAAAAAGAAUGCAUUCGUUCAUUGCGAAUUAUUUUAGGAAAUUAUUGAAAAGGUCAACUCCAAGUUUUAAGAUUUUGAGUUGGUUGUUGAUUUAGACUGGUUUGCCUGUUGAAAGUAGAUUUUGCCUUUAAAAGCUGCUUUUAAUCUAACCUCAAUGCUAAACACACACAAAAAAAGUUUUUUAAUUUACAAACUCAAACUGAAAAACUCUUUAAAAAGUACUUUUGAAAUGAAAAAAAUGCGGAUUAAAAUAAAAAUUACUAUAUUAUCUUUAUAUCUUUUUAAUAUUUUAUUAUUUUACAUAUCUUUUUAAAUAUUUUGAUCAUGAUACUUUUUUACAGCAAUAAUAGAUAUUAAAAUUUUUAAGUGCACUUUUUUUUAACACUUUAUAAGCACACUUUUACUUCCACCUCAAUUUUUAUAUCGUUUAAAAUCUUCAAUUUCAAAUCCUAGAUUUAUCCAAACAUAGGAUUUCAAAUUCAAUAGCUUUGAAAAAAAAAUCAGAAGAAAAGUAUGUAAAGAGCCCAUGUUUGGCAAAGUAGAGAGACCUUAACGGUUAUAAAACUCGGAUCAAAUUAAAUUUUAAUUUUUUAAACAAUACACAAUUUUAAAAUUUGAUUCAAAUUUAAACCUAAUUUUCGUAUAUUUUUUUUGAAUAAUGUAUAAAAUUAUAAAAUUUAAAAUUUGAUUAAAAUUUAAGUCAAAUUUUUAUACAUUUUCAAAUCAAAUCAUAAAUUACAUAUUCAAUUCGAUUUAGUUUAAUGAUUUUAAAAUUUUAAAUUUUUUAUAUAUAUUAUUUUAAUAUAAUUUUUAAUAUAUUUAAAUAAAUUUAUGUACAACAUCUUGAUUUAAUAGUUAAAAAUAUAUUAAAAAAACAUAAAAUUAGGAUUCAAUUUUAGCUUCUUUCCUCCCUCUUAUUGUAAGGUUCUGUCAUUUAAAAUAAAAAAAAAUUAUUUAUAAAAAUUUUGAAAAAUAUAUAAAAAAUAAUAAAAAUAUAUAAUUUAUUUUAUUCAAACUUUUUUAUUUUUUAUUUUUCAAUUUAAAAUCCUAUCACAAUUUAAUAUAUAUAUAUAUAUAUUAAUAUUUAAAUUUAAUUCAAGCUAAAUAAAAAAAAAAAAACUGAUAUGACUCAAACAAAACAUUAAAAUUUUAAAUUAAUUUUUUCUUUUUUCGAUUUUUUUCUCACCAUUAGCCUACUCGUCGUACCUGUUUUGCUUCUGCGUCUUGAAGGAGCGACCUAAUAUCCUGAAAAUUGGCGGUCAUUUUUCGGAUUUCUUCUUCAAGUCACAGAGCCACCCCAACUUUGUUUUUUAUCUCUUCGGGUAUCAUUAUCAAGGAACCCAACUUCUCCAGAACUGCUGAAACAAUUAAUUUCGCCAUUGAUUUUUUCCUCAGAUUGAUCAAACAGUACCAAAGACCACUCCAAAUUAUUUUAUAGGAAGAAAAACCCCGAGAAAAGAAGAAAAAAAAAGUGUGAAGGUAGGUUGGAAUUGGGGUUUCUGUUUGCUGGUGAAGGUAUAUCUUCCUUCUUUUGGAUCUUCUUUCUGUGCACGCAAAGUUCUAUAAAUAAAUUAGACUUCGACUACAAGAUUAUGAACAUUAAAACCCUUUGUUACCAAGGCACCGCAAAUUAGUGGAAACACUCCUACUUUAGUCAGUGUGCACAAAUAUAUGGUUUCUCACUUUCGCGCACUUUCUGGUUUCUUAUAAACAUUAUACACCGACUCUAGUUUUGGGUUUAUUCUCGCCGACUCAGUUUAAGUUUUUUUUUUUCUUUUUUUUUCAAUGUCUUAAAAUGAUUCUUUUUUAUUUAAAAUUUUUCUAAUUUUUUUAAUAAUAAAAUUUAAAUACAUAAAAAUUUAAAAAAUCUUAUUAUUUUUAAAAAUAAAAAUAAAAACAAGAGUAAUUGAGUAAAAAAUAAGAUUUAUUAUAUAAAUUUAAAUUUUAUAUAAAAUGAGGAUUCAACCUUUAUUUUAAAAAUUUUAAAAUUUAAAAUUAAAAAUCAUAUUUAAUGCAUAUGAUUAUUAAUAUUAUUAUUUCAUAUCGUGUUUGAUUUAUAUAUAAAGAAAAAAAUAAAAAUUGAAAGGAAGUUUAAUUUUUUUAGCGUAAAGUUAUUCAAUCUUUAUCAAGUGAAGAAGAUUAUUUUUAAUUUAUAAAAUUAAAUUUAAAUAUUUAAUUAUAUCUUUAAAACUUCUAUCAAUAAUUUAAAUUUUAUUAAUUUUAAAAAAAAAUUUUGAUAAAUAAAAGAAUUAUGCUAUCUUAAUUUUUGCAUAUAUCAAAUAUAAAAUAAAAUAAUAUUAUUUUAUUUUAUUUUAUUUAGAAUACUAUUUUAUCUUACAUUAUUAUAAUUUUGUAUACUAUAUAUGUCAAAAAUAAUAUUUAAUAAAUUUAAAAAUUUUAUAUUUUUUAUUUAUAAAAGAAUUUUAAAAUCUGAUGAUGAUUGCGCAACUUCAUUAUGUCGAUUAGCCCAGACCUAGACCCAUAGUGGGCCCCACUUGAUAGUUGAUAAUAGAGUAAAUUAUAUUACUUACAAUUUUGAGAUUUCAAGUUUUUCAACUUUCACAUUUUUAUUAUUGUUUUUUGCAUUUAGCAUUUUGUGAUUUAGUUCCAUACUUAACGGAUGCUAUAUUAACUUGACAAAUUAUGAAAAUAUUUUAAAAAAUGAGAAACCUAAAAUAAUUUGAUAAUUUUAAUGUGUGAAUUUACCAUCUUAGCUUUUUUGAAUAAUAGAAUUAAAAUAUAUUUUUUAUAUGGUCAUAAUUUGAUAAAAAUUAGAAAAUUAAAAACUUUAAAUUUGUUAAAUAUCAUUUCUAAAAACAAUUAAUUAAAUUAAACUGUUGAUUAUAUAGAUGUUCUUUCAACAUGUUAAUGUGUAUCUAACAAUAAGCGUAUCACCGAAAGCGAUGAAGGAGAUGGCCAAAAGAGUCAAGCCAUUUCCUUUUAUAGGCUAAGGAAAUAAGCAAAUUUUCAAUUCGGUUGAUACAGGUUGAAUAUAUAGACAUAGGCAAGCCAUGUCCAUGAAUGUAAAAAUGGAUAGUUCCAUAGGUUCCCCCCAUAUCCCUUAGCAGUCCGAUAAAGACUGAAAAUUGGUGGCUAGUGGCUAUCACUCAGAGUUGCCUUAUAUGGUAACAGUAUUAUUAAACAUAAUUACUAAACAUAAUUACAAACUCUCUAAUCUGGAAAGCAUCUUACUUAUCAAAUAAGAAAUUUAGUUUAGUUAAUUUAUAUAAUUAUUUUUUAUAUUAAAUUCAAAAUUGAAAUUUUAAUAUUUAUAAUCUAUUAACUUAAAUUGUGGCCUUGUAAAAAAUUUUCUAACCUACCAUUCCCAUUCAAUGUUUCUUGCUAAAAAAUGUACAUGCAUAUUUUUUGCCCUUUACAAUUUGGACUAACCUUUUUUAUCUAAAACUUCCUGUCACUUUUUAUUUUUUUCACUGACAAGUCAUAUCUCUAAACUUUUGUAAUUCAUAAGAUAAAUUUUAUAAAUGUACAUAGUACAAGACUUUUCAAUAGGGGUGUUAUAUAGCGCCUUCAUUUUUUUUCUUGUUUAUUUUUUUAUUUUUUAAAAAUACAUAAAAAAAAAAGAAGUAAUUGUUCCUUGAUUUAAUCAAAGAGAAAAUGAAAAAAGGGUAAGUAAAAGGUUUUUGAUAUGAAAAGUUAACAAAAAUCAUGUUAUGACAAAAAAAAACGUAGUUAAAAAGUUAACAAAUACCAUAAUUUUUGUUUUCAAUACGUAAUUUUUUAAUACAAUCUAAAUAACAUGUUUUUCAUAUAGAAAAAGUGAUUUUGUAAAGUCAAAGCUAGCUCUUACCCAUAUUUAUUUGUCAGACGUUACUUUUAAUGUCAUAUUGAGAAUAAAAAGAAAAGAUAUAUUGCUUUCAUAAGCUGUCAGCCAUAAUUGUUUUUUUUCUAUUCAAAAAAUUCUUAGGAAAGUAAAAUGAAAAAAUUUUGUGAGAUGUUGGAGCACAAAAAUUAUAUUUUUUACAUAAGAAAAGUAGUUUUUGUAGUUUUUUUUUUAUUGUAAAAAAUUUCUUGUAAAAGUAAAAGAGAAGAUUUUGUGAGAUUCAUUGACUUACAUUUUCCUUUAUCAUUUUUGCUUUGGUACACAAAGACUAUGUCUCUUACAUAAGAAAGGAAGUCUUUGUAGUUUUUUGUUUUGAAAAAAAAAAGUUCUUAGAAAAGGUAAAAAAGAAUAUUUUGUGAGAUUUUGGUGCAUAAAUGUAGCUUUUGUAGUUUUUUGUUGUAAAAAAAUUUAUGAAAAAGUGAAAAAAGAAAAUUUGGUGAGAUUCGUUGACUUACAUUCUUCAUUAUCAUUUUUGCUUUUUUAAGAUUAUUAAUUAAUAUGUGAAACGAUAAAAUAGUUAUUGAAAAGGUAAGAUGAUAGUUGAUGAGACUCGAAAAACCUCAACCUUAAAGUAUAAAUAUAGUAAUUAAUUUAUAAAAAUUAUCAAAAAAUACGUUUUCUAAAUUAUAAAUGCAAUCUUUAUUUGAUGUUUAUAAAAAAAUAUAUUUUACAAAAAUUACGUUUUUAAAAAUAUAAACGUAGUCAUUAAUUAAAAAAAUUCACCAAAAACUAUAUUUUUAAAAUUAAAAACACAGUAUUUAGCUAAUAUUACAAACACUAAAUGUCACAUUUCUAUAAUUAUAAAUGUAGUCUUUAGAGUAAAAUCUAUAAUAUAAAUUUUCUAGAGAUUUGAAAGCAAGUGGGGUAUCCACGUGGCACCACCAUUCUUUUUCUGUAUGUUAAAAAUUUGUGUUAUUUUUUAAAUGUUUUUGCUUUCUCUUUAUUUUAUUUGUUUUAUACUUUAUUUUUUUAGAUUUUUUCUUUUUUUAUUUAAUUUAAUUUAAUUUGUUUUUUACUUUUUAAAAAAAUUAUGUAAAAAAAGUCAAUGAAUAUAAGAAUGAUAAAAUAAUCCGUUAUGGAUUCUUUUUUUUUUUUUUUGCUCUUUUAAGAUAAAUUAUGUAACAAAAAAGUUAAUAAAUAUAAGAGAAGAUGUCCACAUGGCAUAUCCUUUCUUCAAAAUUCUAUUUUUUUCCAUAUUUAUUUAUUGAUUUAUUGACAUUUUUUUUAUUAAAUAAAUUUUGUAAAAAAAAUUAAUGGAGGUAAGGAUGAUAAAACAAUCUAUAUUCGAUUAAUUUUGAUUUGUCUCGAUUCAAUAUAAAUGCAAUUUAAAAAAACUCGUAAUCGAAUCGAGAUUUUUUUUUUUUUUGAAAAAUCGAAAUCAAAUCGGAGAUGAAUUUAAGGUGUUUCAUCAAUAUAAUAGAAAGGUUGCACUUUUUUUUUUUUUUAAUGUUGAUGGUGCUCACCAUAGAUCUUUUCAAUUGUUUCACUCUUUUUUAAUCCUUUUUAAUAAAAUGAUUGAGAUGAUGGUAUAGAAAAUGAUUAAGAUUAUGGUAAUAAGUGAAGGGUAACAUAAUUCUAAUAACAUAUUUGAGAUUUGAGGUGAUGAUGAUAGGUGAUGAAUUGGUGAAUCACGUGCAUGUCCUUAUUAGAAAAAAAAUUAUUUUAUAUUUUUUCUUUUCUUUCAUUUUCUCUCUUGUCUCUCACCCUUUUAAACUCUUUUACCUCUUAACUUUCCCACAAUCCUUUAAAAAGAAAACUUAUAUACUCUCUUUUACUCUUCAUCCAACGUUGAUCGUCAUUUGCUAGCAAUGGAUUUUCAUAAAAAAAUGCCUUCAACCUCUUCUUAAUUUUUUAUUCAUAUCUAUCGAGUUAGUAUUUUCAAAAUCAACUAAGAAAAGUCUAUAUCUAAAUCUAAAAAUCAUAACUUCAAUUUUCUAAAAACACCAUUUCCACCAGCUGAAAUAGUUUGAAAUUUGACUAUGUUACUCCCCUUAUUUUCGCUCUUUGUUUUCUCUAAUUUAGAUUUUUUAACACCUUUUAUCAUUAAGAUUCACCAUUAUUAUUGUUGUCAUUCACUUCUUAUAUCUAAUUAAUGCUAGGCAAAUCGGUCAUAUAUUUCUAACUUUGUAUAUUUUUAAAUCUUAAUGCUUUUUCUUAAGAUUUUUUCGUUAAAUAUGACAUUUAUUACCUUAAUUUUUUUUGUUAUGAUAUUUUUACAUGUGUACACAUGAGUUUCAAUUUUAUUUUUCAGAUACUUUCAAUAUGUUUGUCUUAUUUUUAUUUACUAUCGCAUGAUAUUUUUGUUUACUUAAUACUUUUCUUUUAUUGUUUUAUUGCAUUUAUAUAAAUACCCAUAAGCUUUUCAUGUAAUUUCUUUGAAAUGUCCUAAACAGUUUUCCCUAACAUUGAUUUAGGGUCCAAAAUUGUCCACAUCGAUCCCUAAUCUUACUUGACUAGAACACUUCCUCCCCCAAUUCACUGUUGUCUUUCUUUUUUUGCAUGUAUAAUUCCAAAAUUCCUGUUGUUUUUCAUCUCAUAAUCAAGUGAGAAUACAGAAUCCAUUUGCAUUCACAGAUUGUAAUCGAAACAUCUGUUUUCCUCGUGUUCUUUAGAUGUUGGAAAGUAAUAGAUAAAUCAUCAUGACAAAGAGUUUCUUUUUUAUUUAUUUUUCCUUCUCAAUUUUCAUUCAUUUAUGUUGUUGAUAAGAGGCAUGAGAGAGUUUUCUUAUUCUUGAUAUUGUUAUUCUUACUGCAUAUAAUUUUCUUUUGUAGUUGAUUCUAUCUUCAUUUUCUCUAAUAUGAAAAUAUAUAAUUUGCAUAUAACAUGUACUAACAUUUAAUGCACCUGGGAUGGGAAUUUCAAGCAUGCCAUUUGCCUUUCAAUUCCCAUAAAUAGUGUCAUUGAAUGCUGCCAUACUUGGAUUCAAGCAGCUUUAAUACACAACCAUAUGGUUGAACUGUUGCAAGUCAAUUAGACAAGAUUCUUCUAAUACAUAAGCCUAAAAUUUUUUUAAAAUUAAAAUUUGAGGAUUCACAUCAAAAUUUUAUUAAAAUGUUGCUUUGAAAUUUGUAGGAUUAAAAGAGUUGAUUAACGCUUGAGGGAAAUGAAAAAUGGAACAAAAGAAGAUAGUAGAAAAUGGGGAAAGGGAAAGGGAAACGGUAGAUGUGAUAGAACUGAAGUUUUUUAGUGAAGAGAUGAGUUAUGCCAAUCAUUUAAUUUUAAAACGGUGUGAUUUCCCAAAAUGAAAGAUUGACAAUUCAUGUGUGGAAUUUAUAGGCUGAAUCAACAAAUAAAGGGCACGACCUUACUUGAACAUGAUCUGUUCUAUAGGCUCGAACCUCUAUGUCUAUGAGCACAAAGGAGACAGGAUCUUAAGUCUAGUUGAUGAAUCAUGACCUUGUGAUCAGAGCGUGAUUAAACCCAUUCAAUGGAUUACCUGUGACCUAUUGAAGUAUUUGAGGAUAGUUUUCAGCCAAGGGUUUGGGUCACGUAGUGAGACUUAAGCUCCAGGCUCGUAUGGCUCCAGGACUCAAGCAUGCACUCAUCCGCAUCCUGGAUCAGCCUACCUACCACGGUUUUCUUCCCCACCCAACUUCGUGAUGCCCUCUUCCCCACCCAACUUCGUGACGCCCUCAUCAUGGAGGCUGGCCACUUUGCCUACCUCCUUCGAAAUGCUUGGUGUGAAUCGAAUGGUUAACAAUUUAGGGUUGGCUCUGAUACCACUUGUCACGUGCCAGACUUAAGCUCCAGGCUCAUCCGAACCCAUGACCCGGCAUGCACUCAUCUGACGUCGGAUCAAUUUAGCUGCCACGGUUCACACCCUUAUGAGGUAUUAUCCGCUAUGGGCCUUCUAACUCAUGGUUUUAUCCUACAAAUGAUAGCUCCCAAGAGGAAGGUGGUGUGAACCCUUUUAUACCUCAGUGACCCUCUUUUUAUAUCCGAUGUGGGAUUCAGGACUCCUCUUUAGGUCCGUGAUAUUUGUACCAACUGGGAUGGUCACAAGGUUGUCUGAUAGACUAUUUUUCGAUUUCAUUUUUUUUUUGGUUUCACCUCAUAAUUCGUAAUGCUUCAUUGCAAACCAAUUUAGAUAAGUAUAGAUGUUUUGGAAGAAUUGAUUUUAGAUUUUUCCCAAUUGCCUAAUUGGUAACAAUGAAUCUAAUUUGUAAUGGUCUACAAGCCUUUAGUCUAGUGACUAAAGGUGUUUGAGAGGAUAUUAAAGGUCUGGUUUCGAACCAGGUCUUCCCUUCCGUUUUACUUGUACUAAAAUUUUAUCCUCAUGAUGUAACCAAAAAAAAAAAAAAGAAUCAAAUUUGCAAUGACAGCUUGUGCUCAGCUUAACAGCAUCCAAAAUAAUGCAUGCUUACCUUCAAUUUAGACAUACUUCAGAGCCACUUUUAUUAUCUUUUCAAGUUAAAGAGGCAAUGUUACUUAAAUAAAUAUUGGGGUGGCGUUAUGUUCAAAUGGAGGAUAAUUUUGAGGUACUAACGGAAGAAUAUUUGAAACCAAUAUUGGGUAGGGACCGCGCGAAUGCAGGCCCCCGCUGCCACAAAUUAUGACGUAGGCUUUCCACUUGGGAAGACCUUAGAGCCGCACCCCUCCCAAGUGCAAUAGAAGUCAUUGCCCUAGGCCAUGGGUCUUAUUGAUCAUCCAUUGACCCUAUCCAGGUAAGUAUGUUUUAAUGUUAGGAUAUGAUUCUACCUUGUACAAGUCGCUUAUAAUUCGUUUAUGAUAUGAUAGGGAUGUGGGAUUAAGUGAUAUUGUACAUUAUUGUCUAAAGACCAAGCUUUCUCAAAAAAAAAAAAGAAAUCAAGAAAUUUUUAAAAGUUUUGAUCAAACGAUAAUGUAAAAUGGCAAUUCCAUCAUCUUUAAAUUAAUGGGAUAUUUUGAUAUUUAAAAGUUGAGACUUUAAUUUGAAAGUCUUCAAUUCACUUCUUAAAAUAAAAUAGAUGAGAUUUAUAUUAGAUUGAUUGAAGAAGCCUCUUCCAUUAUAUAACCAAAAAUCAAGUGAAGAGAUGCAUUACAUUUUUAUAAAGGCUUUUCCAUGCUGAUCCCAAUAGUCAACUUGAGAUUAAUUAAAAUGGCUAAGAGUUAUCAUUUACAACAGCAAUUUUGCAAGCUAAAUUAUACUCAAAUGUACCUGUUCAACUGAUCUUUUGCUAAAUAUUGAAAGAAAAUUAUGAUAUUGAUAAAAAUUUGACCUUUUUUUAAUCAAGACAUUGAAUUAUCACAGCAUAUUCUAAAGACAAUGAAUUAUCAUAGUAUAUAUAGAAUAGAAUUAUAGAAAAUCACCAAAAUGAUAGUUACAUGCAUGUCUUUAUAUUCAAAGAAUUAUUUUUCCUCCCAUCAAAAAAGAAAUUGACAAAAUCUUGCAUUUAGAAAAGUAAGACGAACACAUCCCAUACAAAUAUUGAUGUGAAAGAAAAAUGAAGUCCAAUAACGCAAACCAGGCCUAAAGAGAGAUCAGAACUUGCAGUAGAUAGAUAUGAAACCUUUCAAAACUAGGAAUCGUAGGGCAUUACCCUGAAGGGAGCCCUUCUAGAUAUUCUCAAAGGCUAGGUCUGAACCAAGGCCAAAGAGGGGGUUUGGAAAUAGUUUGGAAAGAGCACGGUCAUCUUCCUUAUCGAUCUGGGUUAGUAAAGAAAAAAAAGGAGUACGGAUGUUGUCCUAAUUGAUCUGUAAAGGUAAAAGCAAUUUACAGUAAUAAUUUUACUCAUCUCUCAUAUUCAUGAAAAACUAUACAAUCAUAUAUAUAGGACAAGUUAUGCGCCAAAAUAUUUGAUCGAAUUUAUGUUAAUAAAUUGAUACCCCAAAAGAACUUAGUAAAAUUCAUGCUACAAUUCAAUUGCCUUUCCCAGUGUAUUAAUUAUACUAAAUAAAUAACUCUACAAGCUCAACAAUUAUGUAAUUCAGAAAUACAAAGUCAGAGUUUUAUCCCUAAAUAAAAAAAAGAAACUAAAAUAAUUACAUAUAUAUUGAGCAAUAUGCAAUCUAAUCUAAGAUAUCAUAAUUGAUAAGUGUCAUCCCCUCAGUAAUGGAUGCCAAUGCCUUAGUAAUUGCCAUUGAAAGCUCUGUCUUGUAAACUUGAGCAGAAUUUUGAGGAGAUUGAUAAAGAAAUUAGAACAAGGCACAAAUACAGCAAUGUGAUCGUACUCAGCCAGAUGAACCUUAAAUCAACUCUGCUUACACAAAUAGUUUUAUGGUUAACUUUCAGAACAAUUUAGUCAUAAACAUAUCACCUAACUAUUUUAAAUAUCAUAUUUCUGGAGAGAGUAGCUUUUUUGGCAUAUGGGCUUUUAGAGUUUUAACUGGUUGUGAAUGUUAAAAGCAAGAUUUUUUUCCUAGUACUUCUUCACAGACUAACGGUUUCUUCACUUCUUUGAAAGAAAUUGCCUCUUAGACUCAUGAUACUUCUGAUAAUGGAUCUUUAAUUUCCUUUUCCAUUUUAGUUUGGAAUUUUAACAAGUAAUUUGUGGCAUUUUUGCUAGCAAAUCCAAUGAUUUAAAACAUUAGGUAGCAAAUAUUUAAAACAUUUUUAAAAUUAUAGAUGAUCAUGUUUAAAACAUUAAUGUUUUUAAAAUAUUGUUUGGUGAAGAAAAUAAAAGAAUUUGAAUGCUGAAGUUCUUCUUAUCAGGUUUUUCAUGUUCAAUCAAAAUCAACCACACAAAAUACCAUUGUAUUACAAUAAUUUGAAAGCAGAAUCCCACUUACAAAGGAUAGAUAUCCUUUCACAUCUGGGGAUCGUACACUUUGUGUUUAUAAUUGUUUCAUGGCCCUGUCAAAUAGUAGAACCUAGAAUUUUGAACCUUUGCCAAUGGUUGGUAAGACUUGCAAAGCUAUCCAGUUGAUAGAAUCAUAAAACCAUUUCACUACAAUUGGAAGGGUGCGCCAGGCCCUUAGAGUAGUACAACGCAUGGGCGACGCAUGAGAACCCUAGUAGAAGCACCAAAGUUCCAAUUAAACCGUGUUGUAAAUCAUCCUUAAGUUGUUCACAAUGUGGGAUAGAGAACUCAGCCAAACAACAGCAGCAGCACCAUGGCAUCGUUGCCAUGAAUCCAUGAUAGAAAGUAAUUUGCUUGUGCAGGUGAUCCUUGAACUAAAACUCGCAAUAAAGACGCUCAUGACCAUACAACUUAUAUGUGAUCACAUUUGGUGGUAAGUUCUGGUGAUAACCAUAUGACCCAGGAUUCAUAUGCUCCAGUUCAUAAUUACGUCGGCUUCAUAAUUUGGAAAGGUGAAAAGAAAAAAACUAUAUAUAUCAGACAUUGGCAUCUAUUUUCAUAACUGAUGAGAAAAGUUCAAUUAUUUUCAUUCCAAGUCAUAAAAAAAUUCCACACUUCAAAAAACAUCGAACUGCUUCAGGAGAAAAGGACCUAGGCAUAUUUCUACAUAAGCACCGAGGAACGAAUUCGGCACAUGAAACUUUAACGUCUAAACUUAAACGAAAGACACUAAAACAUAUGCUAAGAUUUAAAAUAAAUUUGGUAGGAGCGGCGCGAACGCAGGCCCCCUCUGCCACAUCAUCUCGUCCAGGUAAGUAAGCUUAAAAGCUGCAGCUUGCCUCAUAUUUAUAAUACAACACUAUGCUACACUAUCCUCACUCAGUGAUGCGGAACUGUUUGAAGGCUGAAGUGCUAAAAGUGAGGUUCAAUCCUCUUUUAGAGACAUCAUAAGAACGUUCCUUUUCUUGACUGCCUACAUUUGUCAGAACUCAUUUGAAGGCAAACAGGCACUAGCAAAUCACUAUGUAGUGUCCAGAUUACUACACAAAAUCCAUACAUUUAACUUUUGGCAAGUAGGGACUAGCAAAUUACUAGGUAUUAUAAUAGCAAGUAAUUGGAUCUUAAUUCAAAUGAUUAAUUUAUCUUUUUUUAAGAGAUGAAAUUUUUUAAAGUUGGGAUUCGAUUUUCAAUACCUACAAUUUCUCUUAUCUCUUUUUGAAUCUUUUAUGUUGCGAUCUGUUUUACAUUAAAAAAAAAAAAAAACAAGGUGGUCUUCUUUAGGGUUUAGUAAGUUUUGUUUGGGGUGCAAGGGAGUUAUCUCAAGAUUGUCGCUAGGUGGUCUUUGAGAAUCAUAGUGUGAGGUCUAGUUGAAGAUCAAGGUGGGCAAUUUGUGGUUGGAGAAUGGAGGAAAAUCUUGAUAUUCUGUGGAGGCAGUUAUAGUUAAGGCACAUACAAAUGGAUCAGGACAAGAGGCCAACGGUAAAAAGGCAUGGAUGGUUGGGAAACUACUAACCAAUCGAUCCUAUAACAAAGAGGCGAUGAAGAGCACACUGAAGUUAAUCUGGAGGCUAGCAAGAGAGGUCGAUAUUGAAGAUCUAGAGAACAACUUUUUCCUUUUUAAGUUCUCAUCCUGUGCAGACAUGAAAAGAGCGAUAGAAGGUUCGCCUUUAGAGCUUUGAUAAACAACUGAUAUUAUUCAAAGAAUACGAUGGUGGAUUAAAGCCUGAGGAUUGUAUCUUCAAUACAGUACUCUUUUGGGUAAGGGUGUAUGAACUGCCAUUAGGCAUGCGAAACCAGGAGAUCGUAAAUCACAUUGGAGAGAAGAUAGGCAACCUUAAAUCAAUUGAUGCAACCCCUGAAGUAAGAGGCUUGGUUCCUACGUUAGUUGAGGUAGAUAUAACAAGACCAUUAAGGAGGGCUGUGUUACUCACCACAAGAGUUGAGGUAAAGGAGAUAUGGGGUAGAUUAAGCUACAAGCGAUUACCCAGCUUCUGUUACGUUUGUGGAAGAUUAGGGCAUAUUGAGGACGAAUGUGGCAAAGGGAAAAGGGAGCAAGUCGUCACCAAUAAGGUAGUUCAGGGGAUGGCUUCGGGCCUCACCGCUUAAAAACAAACAUUCGCCAUGGGAGGAAGGAAAUGUAAGGAUUGGAAUGCACGGCAAAAGGGAGAGGAAUCUGUCAUAACAAUGAGCAAGUAAUGUCGAUGGCCGGAGAGGGAGUUGUUCGGAAGCUGAAUCUAGUGAUGAAUCAAGAUAGCAGUUACGUGCAUGAAAAUCGAGAUUCGUUAAAUCAGGUGAUUGAAGAUACUGGGAUAAUGACUCGAUAAAGGAAGAACAAUCCCAUAAUUCUAGCAUGAAAAGGGAUUGUCAAAUCCCAAAACUGAUGGUCUUAGGGUGUAUGGAUUAGGGGGUUAUGGAUCAAGUACCAACAUAUUAGGCAAAAAUAAUAUUAUGAUGGAGCCUACGUUAAAAGGUCCAAAUGAUAAGCAAAACAUGCCGAGUAAUCACAUGGUCUCGUGUAAGACGAUUUUCAAUAGCCUGAUGGAUCAAAUAGAUAGAACCAAGGAAAAAAAAUGAAGUUGGCUGAGUCAGAAGCGGUGGUAAAUGAUAGGUUCAUUAGCCAAGAGCAAGUUAAAAGAGACAUGGGAUAGGUAAUUAACCCAGGGAUGCAAUCACAUCAAAAAUGGAAGAAAUUAGCCAGGGUUACAAAAGAGGGAACGAAAUUUGUAAAUGUGAACACGGGGAAGGGAAAAUUGGGAAUUGACAAGACAGCAACAAUGGACAUGGAUAGCAUAGGGAAGAGGAGUAAAUGGGAUGAGAAGAAUGAUAAGGGGAACAAAUUUGUGGAAAUGGUGGAGGCUAGUAUCCUAGUCUUGUUGAGAUCAACGAAAUGCUUAGCUUGGAACUAUCGUGGGCUUGGGAACCUAUGUGUAAUCCGAACCCUUCAGAACAUUCUGAAGAGGGAAGAUCCUGUGCUGGUAUUUCUAUCGAAAACUAUCUCUAAUAAAACAAAAUUUGACCGAAUAAGGAGGCAGUGUCAGUUUGAAGGUAUGAUUAUGGUCGAAGCAAAUGGUAGAAGCAGAGGUCUAGUAUUACUCUGGAAAGAGGAAGUAACGCUGAAAUUGUGGAGCUUUUCAAAAUAUCAUAUUGAUAUGGGGGUUAAGGACUCAACAGAGAAAACGUGGAUGAUCACGAGCUUCUAUAGAGAACCAUUAACAAGGGAAAGGCAUGUUGCUUGUGAGAAGUUAUGCAGAUUGGUUAGGGGUAGUGAUAAUGCUUGGCUUUGUUUAGGUGACUUCAAUGAGAUAAUGUGAGACAAUGAAAAUGAGGGCAGGAGCAUAAGGCCGACGUGGCAAAUGGAGGCAUUUUGAUCAAUCUUGGAAGAAACAAAACUUCACGACGUGGGUCUUUUAGGACCUCAGUUUACAAGGGGGAGAGGUAGGAUGUGGCUAAUAGUAUAGGAGAAAGACUGGAUAGAGCUGUAGCAAACAAAGCAUGGAGUUGGAGUUUUCAAAUUUUCAGGUAAAGCACUUGGCUUACUCAGUCUUGAACCAUUGUCCAAUCAUGGUUGAUACUUAAAGAGCCAAACAGAAAGGUGUGGGUUGUUUAAAAGAAAGAAGAAAGCUUUGAAGCCAUGUAGGCCACAGAAGGCGAAAGCAAAUAUAUAGUGGAAAGGUGUUGGGUAGAUGGAAUAUACAAAGAUGUGAAGGCAAAGUUACAAGAGACACGUGACAGAUUGUGUACAUGGCUAGGGGAAAAUUUUUUGGUAUGAGGAACAAAAUAGAAAAACUAAAAAAAUUACCUUCAUGAGGUGCAAUAACAUGCGGUGAAUGAGGACAACUUGGCAAAAGAAAAGGAGCUAAAAUCAUGCCUAAACCGUGUAUUAUAACAAAAGAAAUUGUUUUGGAAGUAGAGAGCUCGGGUUACUUGGCUUAAGGAUGGGGAUGAUAAUAUAAGAUUUUUUUCGCGCUCAAACAUCAAAAAGGAGAAGAAUAAACAGAAUUUAAGGUGUGGAGGAUGACGAUGGGGUCUGUCACGAAGAUGAAUUAAGGGUGGCAGAGCAAGUAGUAAAUUAUUUUAAAAAUUUGUUUAAAUCACAAGGACCAUCCGUCACUAAUCAAAUCCUGGAAACAAUCUUCCCUUGCAUCAGAAAUGAGAUGAACAAUAACUCUUUUCAGAGUUCAUAGUCAAGUAAGCCUAUGAAGCAGUUAAACAGAUACAUCCGAGUAAAGCUACUGGACUGGAUGGUAUGUCUGCCUCGUUUUACUAGAAAUUUUGGCAUAUUGUAGCAGCGGAAGUUAUUGCAUUAUGCUUACAUGUUCUCAAUGGGAAUGGUUGUUUGAAUGAUAUCAAUGAUACCCAAAUUAUACUCAUCCCUAAAACCAGCAACCCUAAGAGACUGUCUCAAUAUCUUCCUAUAAGUCUUUUUAAUGUUCUCUAUAAAAUCAUUGCCAAGACCCUAGCUAAUAGGAUGAAACAUGUACUUUCUGUCUAUAUUAGCAAACAUCAAAGCGCAUUUGUUCUAGGCUGAUUAAUCUCUAAUAAUGCCAUUAUUGCUUAAGAGCUCAUCCAUAGCAUGAAUAGAAAGAGGAAGGACAUGGAUGGUUGGGUAGCCCUUAAAUUAGGCAUGAGCAAAGCCUAUGACUGGGUUGGGUAGCACUGUCUUAAUGCCAUCAUGGAAAUAUUAGUUUUCAGCUCUCGAUGGAAGUUGAUUAUUUUGAGUUGUAUUACAUCUGUUACCUACAAGUUGGUCAUUAACGGACAUGUGACUAACAAAUUUCUCCUACGAAGAGGUCUCCUAGGAGACCCCCUUUCACCAUACUUGUUCUUGAUAUGUACAGAGGUUCUAUCAACACCCUUGUCCAAAUACCAACGGGAUGGCUUGUUACAUGAAGUACGUGCAAGUGUCAGAGGCUUACAAAUCACUCAGUUAUUUUUUACAGAUGACAGUUUGCAUUUCUUCAAAACAAACCAAGAGGAAUGCAAAUAUAUGAGAAACUUGCUAGAAGUAUACGAAGAAGGUUCGAGGUAGCAGACCAAUUGCGAAAAAUCGGGCAUACUUUUUAAUAAAAAAUACAAGUGCCGAUGUCGUAGAGAUGAUAAAGAACUUUUUUGGGGUACAAGCCACAACAAAUGCUAAAAAAUACUUUGGAUUUCCAAUGUUUGUCGAAAGAAAGAAAAAGAGAGCAUUUAAAGGAAUUGUGGAAAAGAUGGAAAAGAAAAUCGAACAGUAGAGCUACAGAUGGUUAUCACAAGAAAGCUAGGAGGUCUUCAUAAAGUCAGUGCUCCAGUAAAUGUCUUGGUAUGCAAUGUCAUGUUUCAUGUUCCCAAAAGGAUUAUGCCAUGAAAUUAAUAUGAUCAUCGGUAGAUAUUGGUGGCAAUAGUCAUCGAAAAGAGGAGGGAUCUGCUAGAUGGCUUGGAAAAGAAUGUGCACUGGAAAAAAGAAGGGUGGCAUGGGAUUUAAAGACAUGGAGAUAUUUAACAAAGCCAUGAUUACUAAACAAGGCUGGCGUUUAUUACAAAACACCUCGUCAUUAGUUUACAGGGUACUUAAAGUACUUCCCCAAAUCUGAUUUCCUCGAAGCUGAGCUUGGCAAAAUACCGUCCUAUUCCGAGAGGAGUAAAUGGAUGGGGAAAAGGGCCUUAGAGCUUGGGGUGAGAUGGCGCGUGGGCAAGAAAUAGAGUAUUCAGGUCUGGCAAGACAAAUGAAUUCCAAGAGAUGGAAGCUUCAGGCCCACACCUAACACAAACUACAUACAAGGGAUAGAAAUGGUAUGAGUGGAUAUCAUUUGUUGGUAUCAAGGGUGCUCAUUGGUAACUAGAGAAACGUAAACACUGAAGGGUCAACUGACAAUGGUUCGAAUAUGGCAUUUAGUGGUACCAAGCAAGGUAAAGAUUUUCACUUGAAGGCUGUGUCACGAUUAUUACCACUGUUUGAUGUCUUGAAAAACAGGGGAAUAAUGGAUCAAGUAACAUGCCCACGAUUUAACAUGCACAAUGAAACCAUGAUGCAUGCCAUAAAAAAGUAUUAAUAUGUAAAUAGGAAUGCCGAUGUCUAAGGUAGAGAAAAGUAGAGCAUUCUUCAUCCCUAUCUCUGAAUUUUUAUAUUAUACUUAUUUUGUAUUUAUAUCUAAUGGAUUUUUUAAAUCUAUUCUCAUCUCUAUUUCUAUGAGUAUUUAAUAGAUAUAGAUAAUCCUCGUACCAAUAAUUUUUUUUUUUUAAAUUAAAACUAAAAUUUAUUUUUUUAAGGUUUUUUUUUAAAUUUUUAUCUUAUAUAUUUAUGUAAUUUUUUUAUAAACAUAUAUAUUAAUAUUUUUUUUCAAUAAAAAUAUAUUAAUUCUAAUUAAUCUAAAAAAAUAAUUUAUAUUAUUUAAUAAAAAAUUUAUUUACUAAAUAUAUAUGAAUAUAUAUGUAAAGUAUGGAUAGAGGGCAGUUGUUAUAUUACUCAUCAUUAUUUCCGUAUUUAAUAAAAAUUCAAAAUUAUAUCUAUUUCCAUCUCUAUCCUUGCACUCAUAAUGUAAUGCCCAUUCUCAUCCCUAUUCCAGUAAAAUGCUGGAUUUUUCGUUAGAUAUGGAUAAGAUUGACAUCUUGUGGUACCAAGCACAACCGAAUGGAGCAUGGCAGACUACACAGGCAAAGACUACGACAGAAUGAUUGUCAGUACCGGCUAACAGCACCAGCAGGGAGUCAUUUCGCAAAGUCACCAUGUUAUGUUGGGCGAUACGGGGAAAUAGGAGUGAAGCUGUGAAGAAAAAAGUGCUAAGACCAACCCAGCAAAUGGUGGAAUUUGUGAACUAGUCUGUGGAGGACUAUUCUCGCACGCAUGAAGGAUAACUAGUGGCAAAGACAAAGCGAACAAGCCAGUGGCAGGCACCCAAUGGAGAAACGGUGAAGAUUAAUUUCGAUGGAGUAUUGGACAAAGAAAAAAAAGUUUGCUGGAAUAGGUGUCAUUGGGAGAAAUAGCAAGGGAAAGGUCCUAGGAACGUUGUGCAACACUGUUACAGGGAUGAAAGACCCAGAAAUUAUAGAGGGGAUGGCAGCGGUACAAGCAGCUGAAUAUGCAUGCAUGAUGCGUUUCCUGAAAAUUAUCUUGGAAGGAGAUGCACUUGGGAUUGUCGCACAAAUUGCAUAUGAUCAAGGAAGAAACCUGUCUGCAGUAGGAAACCUGGUGAUGGACACAAGGCUGGAGCUAAACCAUCUUGUAGAAUGGUCAUGUUCCCAUACUCACCGCGAAACUAAUGGUGCGGCCCAUAGGUUGGCAAGAAUUGCGGUAGAUAGGUUAGAGUCCCUGACCUGGAAUGGUGGCUAUUUAGAAGAUAUUAAAGAUAUUGUAAUACACGAAAUGCUCUUUUUGAAUUAAUGAAAUCACCUUCACUUAAAAAAAAAGAGUUACUAAUUAACAUUUGUUUAUAUUGAACAAAUGGAAAAUGAGUAAGUUAAAAAUGUCUAUACUUAGUUCAAAUUUUGUCCCGUUGAUAACGACAGAAUUUUGUACUAAAGGGUAUUAUUAUGCCUAUAUAAACUCUUUGUUUUGAUUCUCGAGUCGUGCUAUGAGAAAAUUUUUUAAUCACUAACUCUAAAAUUUUAUUUUUUAACAGUUGAAUUAUUUUCAUUAGUUAUAAGACUAUUUGAUUUAUUUUAUUUUAUUUGUACUUCCUUAUUCAAUUAAAUCAUUUAUUUUCAACUUAGACUCACUAAAAGAGUUGAAAAAAAAAAAAGGAGAGAGAGAGAACAUUAAAACGACACCAUUUUCCUUUUUUUUUUUUCACAGAAUUGCUAACAAAAUAACAAACAGACAUUUUUUAAAGGCGCAAACAAAGAAAAGAUCAGGAGACGAAGAGAGAGAUGGCAACGAGCGACGAGAGAGAUGAAAGGGGAAGGAGAAUCUCAGGGAAAGGGUUAAAUCGCAUGUCUCACAUCACGUCGGGACGAGCCCACAGCAUCUCUUCAUCUUCUUUACCACCUCUGCUUGACCAUGAUCAGCGUAAGCCUCUACAAUCUUACCUUUGGCAAUAAAUCGGGUGGGGACAAAAUUUUGCUCAAUUCGAUUUCAUAUCAAUUAAAUUUGAUCUCGAUUUGAUCUGAUUUUUUUUUAAUUUUUUUAUAUUCGAACUCAAUCUGACUUGCUAGUAUAUAAAUUAUAUCUGAUUUGAUCCGACUCGAAAUUAAUAAAAUAUUAUUUUUUAAAUAUAAAAUAUUAUUUUUUAAAUAUAAAUAAUUAAUUAAUUUAAAAAAUUAUUUUUAUAUAAUAUCAUAUCAGAUUAGAUCGAGUUCGGAUCGGGUUUGUCUAAAACUCGAAUUCGAUCCGAUCUCGAUUUUUUUCUUAACACUACCAAAUUCAAUCAGAUCUAAAAUUCGAUUUAAAAAAAAAAUUCAGCUCGAAUCGAAUCGAACCAAAAUCUGUCGGGAACGGGUUGGGUUGCCCACGCUAAUCUUACCUCCUCGAUCAAACCAAUGGUAGCCUCUUAGGUUUAUGGCCUUUAAAAGCAUAUUAGUUUGACGGUUUCCAUUGUAAUUAGAUCAACAUUUUAGGUAUCUGUGAAAGUUUGGAGAGUGGGUUUUGUUUCGUAUUCUUAGUAAUAGAUUCCAUGACAAUUCACAUUCCAUGGUACUUGGUAAUGCGCUCUACUAUUAUAUGCACAUGCUUUUUGUUGAAAAUUUGCCUUGGUGUCCAGAAUGUCCAUGUGAGAAGGUCCUUUGCAACAUAAGAUUCAUGAACUGUUGUAGGUGGAAUUGGUGAAUGACUUAUCUAGGUUGGUUACAAACUCUCAAUCUUGAUUCUACUCUGGUUUGUAAUCAAGAAUCAAGCCAUUGCUCUGGUACUGGAGAUUUCAUUUAAUGAAAGAGCGACCGAGGCAGGGAUUUUUUUUUGGACCACCUAUGUAACAUCCAUAUGGCAAUGAUUUUGCGAAAGAAAUCAUGCCCAAUUCACUUAGUCUUUCACAUAAAAACCCACCUGCCAAGUGCUAAAAGUAGUUAAUUUGCAGUCAAAAAGCCAUAGCAUAAAAAGCACAAUUCAUCUUAAAUUAAACUAUAGAAAUGACAAACAUCAUUUAGUCUAAUUCUCUUAUUCAGACCAAAGCUCAGACAUAUUCUGAGUAAUCUUCAAAAGUUCAAACUUCUGAAUGACUUGCCAGGCUCCACAAUUACAAUAAUCAGUACAAUUUUUGUUAGUACAAAACUUGCUACCAUGUCUGAGAUUGUUGCUUGGAAAUAUAGACAGAACAGGUCUUAAAUUCAAUGGUUGAAAAACCUGGCUCUUAAUUUAUAAUACUAGUUACAUAUAUGGUUUAGAUUUGUUGGAUAUUUUAAUUCAAUGGUUAGAUGGUAAACCAAUUUACUAUGUGCAAAAACAAAUUUGAUAAUUUUAAAUAUGAUACAAAAACGAUACAAAAAAGACAUAAAAAAUAUAUAAUUUAAAAUUUUGAUAAAAAUUAUAUAUUAAUUUGAUAAAAAUAAAAAAUAUAUUUCAUAUUUAACGUAUUAAUAUGAAUUAUGAUAUAUUAAUUUUUGUAUUUUACACAUAUUAGACAAAUUGAAAGUUUCCUCGUCUCUUCAUCCUCUUAGAGCAAAGAGCUUUAUAUAACUUUGCUCCUUUGUACUAAUCAAAUAUAACUUAAAGAAAGGAAAUAUGUGCAAUAAAAGUGUUGCAAUCGGGAUGGGAAAUUAAGAGUACAAAUGAGACAGAUGACUAGAGAAGCAACAGCCUUUCGAAAUGAAGGAUCGAUAUAUGAUAAGUCUUCUUUUGAUAAUCUUGUCGAUGUAGGAUAAGUCUUCUUUGAUAACCUUGUCCAAGAGAUCUCUCAAUCUUCACUAGUAUCGAGCAAAAUCUGACGCAACCUGCUUUAGUCCCCUUUCUUUGACAUCCCAUGUUACUUAAUAUCCAGUUCCUGUCUUCACAACAUCAAUGGCAAGUAGUUAGAAAACAUCACUUCAAAACUCAUAUUCCUUAACUCCAAACUAGUAAUUACUUAGCUCUAUUUAUUAUUAACAUUAAAAAAACCACAUUACCUAGUCUAUGUUCCGUGCAUCACCCAAAAGUUUUAUGGGGAAAUUUCCUCUUCACAUGCUUUGAAAUCAAAAAGUAUAGACCAGCAUGUCAUAUGAGCUUCAUAUGCUAGCUCAAACACCAAUGGUUAAUUAUGCAUUAACGAGUGACAUUGCAUGUAUUUCAAUAAUUAUAAAGGCGCCUUGAAACAAGUCACCUGCUAAAUAUUUCCUCUAAGUAUUAGAUUUUCCAUCUAGAAAUCAACAUCAAGUUCCUUGCUAAAAAUAAAGAAAUAGGUUAAACAAAUAUUACAUGCUUCAACAAUUUUAUGUCUGUUUGAUAACAAAUGAAAUUAAGGUAACUAUAGUUCAUACUUCAUGCAUACCUCUCCUCUGAUACACAUCAGUCUUGUUGAAACGCUUUGUGGAAAUCAUUAGAACUUAACAAAGAGCUGAAAAGCAAGCAGAUAGCAAGAGCAAAUUAGUUAAGGCAGAGAUGUAAUAGCAUUGACGUAACAUUUCUUUUCUUUCCUGCUGACAAGAGGAAAAAUUCAGCAGUUCAUUUUGCUAAAAAUCUUUGUGUUAAAAACUAAUUUAUAGUAGCUGGAAAAUCUUCUUCAUCUCUAAAAUACAAUCAUAAAAAAAGGUAUGUAAAGGAGUUAAAACUAAAUGUACUGCAAAGGUGUUUGUAAGGCCAUCAUUGCAAAUUUAAAAGCAACAGGCAACAACAUCAGAGACAGAUCCUGAUCACAUGCCAGUUUUGGAGUAAUGUUUUCAGAAAUAGGAAAACUUUAGACAAUUCAACCACAAAUUUAGGCAAAUAAUAUGCCAUACACCUGAAUGUGCUGCAAAUUGAUAUUAAUAAUAAAAUAUAAAAACACCUGUGUAGUGGCUGCAAUUGCAAUACUCCAAACUCUUCUGUAGAAAAGCAGUUUACUUGCACGCAUAGACCAUCGAUUAUGAUACUAGGGAUAUGAGAAAUUUUAAGCCAGUCCUCCCCUGUCUCCUUUCUGCAGCGUUCUGAAAGAAUAGGACUCUGACUUAUGUCCAAUUGCUUUAGACUUGUAUUCUUAACAAUGUAGCAUGGCAGUGCACUUAACUUUGGGCAGGAAUCAAUUGUUAGGGAACAAAGCCGAGGCAUAAUACUAAUAAGCUCUUCUUCUUUGCUUGUUAAUGGGAUCCAAUAACCCCACUCUUCCAUAUCACGAAAUUCGAGAUGUUUUAAACUAGGAAAGGCAAUAAUAGAUGAAGGUGACUCUGACGAUGCAGACAAUGCUGAUAUCUCUUCUUUUUCAACACCCAAAAAUUCAAUUCCCACUUUUUCCAAACUUCUCAUUUCCCCUAUAUAGAGUGAUUCAAGGGAUGGCAAUUUCCCCAAAGGAGGCAAAAUGUUCAAAUGAAAGCAAAAACCCAGCGAAAGAUGCCUCAGCUUGGCCAAGCCCAUCAUCCAGUUGGGGACAAUGGUGGGGCUACUGUAGCCCCAUAUCUCUAAUUUUUCCAAGCAAGGAGGUGGCUGUAAAGCUUCAAGAAGUCUUUCAUCUUCUUUUCUCUCUGACAUCAACCCCUUGGAAUUAGUAAAAUCUAGUAUCAAAUUGCGGAGGCCUUUCUUGUUUUGAAGUUCUGCUUUCUUAGCUUCAGCCACAUCACACACAACUCCCAGUCCACUUAUCUUAAGAUGUCCUUGAAGAUGCAUUAAGUUUCCAAGAUCACCAAGUGUAGAUGCUUCUUUGUUAAUUCCACCAUCCAUUGCCACGAACACCUUUAGCGUCCGAAGGUUUGUUAAUCUCCCAAUUCCUUUUGGCAUUGCCCUCAAGCUCAACUCUGUUUGCUCAUUCUCAAGAUGCCUCAAGUUGAUUAGUUUUCCAAUUCCAAACGGCAAUUCUUUAAGACUAUCACACCAUGUGAGGUUUAAGGCUUGCAAGUUACAUAACCCACAUACUGAUUCAGGUAAUUUUUUCAAUUUUCUAUUUUGUUUCAAGUUAAGGUAUCUCAAAUGAACCAAAUUUCCUGUUUGAUCAGGAAGUUCUUCAAUUGAAUUUCCAAACAAACUGUUACUCAAAUCUAAUGUUCUUAGACAAGUCAAUUGAUCAAACAACACGGGCAAUGAUGUGCUUAGUGAUGAAGUAUCAUGAUUGCUUGAGUCAAUAAGGAGGCUACGCAACUUUUUUAAAUGGUAAAUUUGAGGGACUAUUGGUACAGCUUCUUUACGAAUCAAUGUUACGUGGCGAGCCUUUUCAAAAAAGUCUAUACUCUGCUCUUCAAAACCAUCAUUUAGUAGCAUCAAACAUUCGGCUUCCAUUAAAAGUUGAGCAAAAUCAUGUACGAUGUCAUGCAUUUUGAAUUCCUUAAUACCACUGUGAAGUUCAGACCUUUUAAAAUCAUGAAAAAAAGAACGCAUCAUUAGCUCAUCAAAAUAUUCCUCACCGACAGUCUCCAUCUCUUCGCAUUGCACUCCCUUCAGGUAAUCUUGUGCCAUCCACAACUUGAUCAAUUCAUCUUUGUUUAAGAUCUUAUCUUUGGGAAAAACAGAGCAAUAUGAAAAGCACUGCUUAAGAGCCCAAGGUAACUCGUAAUAACUCAAAAAUAAGGGAGGGAAAAGAUCUCGUUCAGCCUCUUCAAGGCUCCAUAUUUCGCUAUCCAAGAUGCUUUGCCAUUGUUCUCUAGUUCUUUUGAAUCGCAGCAGACCACCUAGAAUCUUUGCAGCAAGUGGCAAGCCCUGACACUUUUCUGCAAUUUUCCUGCCAAUAUCUGCUAAAUUAUCACACUCAUCUCUUGUCCUCCCAUGGAAUGCUCUAUGGCUAAGUAAUGACCAACAUUCCUCCUGAGACAAGGCAUGUAAUGAAAAUACCUUUGCUGUCGUUGUUCCCAUAAUUAUGGCAACUCUUUCCUUACGAGUGGUUAUCAAUACUCUGCUCCCAUGAGAGCAAUACUUGAGGGAAAUUUUCAAUUGCUCCCAUUUUGUAGCAUCUUCAGUCCACACAUCAUCCAACACAAGGAGUAUUUUCUUCCCCAAAACAUGACUACGAAUUUGCUGCAAAAUGUAAUUCUUUCCAACUAAAUUCACAGCUUCGCCUUUAAACGCUUCAAGGAUCUCUUUGGCAAUCCUUAUCUCAUCAAAAGGAUCUGAGACACAAAUCCAUAUUCUCUUGUCAAAAUAACAUUCAACCUCAUUGUGAUUGUAAACCAGUUGAGCAAGUGUCGUUUUUCCGAUUCCUCCCAUCCCUACUAGAGAGAUGAUUUGCAAGCUCGAACCUCCUCCAUUACUAUUCUCUCCCACCAACAUGUUCACUAGAAUUGUUUUCUCCUGACACCUACCAUAAACUUCUUCUUCAUCUAUGAAAGAGGAAGUUAUUUGCCUUUCGGGUUCUUCAACUUCCUUCUCUAACCCAAAUUUAUACCUAUCUUUGUCAGUAUCUAUACACUCAAGUCGUUUAUUCAAGUCUUUUAUCUUUGAAGCAACAUUAUAGUAUAGAAAACUUCGAGAGGUAAAAAAAGAGAUAGAGUAGCGUAUCUUCUUAAGCAAGGGAAAAUCUUCAACUUCUUUUUGUUCUUUCUCCAGUUGUGACUGGAGUUUUGCUGUAUUCCACUCAUCCAACACAUCAUCAACG